This 76165-nucleotide long non-coding RNA is filed under the name Hordeum vulgare. RNAcentral's name for it is "long non-coding RNA (HVUL_LNC021528)". Lineage: Eukaryota; Viridiplantae; Streptophyta; Magnoliopsida; Poales; Poaceae. The record is from RNAcentral.
GAAGGGCUCCCUUUGAGAACUCAACUCCACUGUGCACAAGCCCCACAGUGGGCACCAACUCUCGUGGUUUUGUCACGGCAGAUGUCCUCGUGAAAGGACUUAGCGAUGGAACCAUCGCACGUUGGUGGUGACUCAAAGGGGGUGAGUGGAAACGAGACUCAGGUUUACCCAGGUACGGCCCCUCCUAUGGAGGUAAAAGCCUACGUCAUGCUUUGUGUAUAUUGAUGGUGGAUUCGAUUACAAGGAGGGCGUAACUCGCGUGACAUAGCUCUCGAUGGAUUCUAACUUAACCUAUCUACCCUAGAGACUCGCCUUUAUAUACAGGUCGAGGCCCUAGGGUUUACAAAGUCCUAACCACAUUACAAAUCAUGGCCUUCCAUAUAUCUAAGCCGCCGUGUCCUCCAAGUUAGGAAACCUCCUGGGCGACUUAUCUUCUCUAUUAACCUUGAACCGCCAUCUGGCUCAUGUGCCGUGGCCGGCUCUUCGUUGAAGUUCUCUUGACGCAUCUCAUACCUAGGGCCAAGGCCUAUUUUGACCAUAAAUGUUGAAUCGCCGUUUACCUAACCGUCCGAAUAGGGCGGGUCAUACUGCACGUAAUAUCCCCACUAGGGGGCUUUUGUUGCAAAUCAGAUUUUGCGUGUCCUAACAUUUUGAGUGCAGAAGAUUUCCUAACUCAAAGACAUUUCCACUAACUAGAUUUUACCUGAGUCCUAAUAAUUUCGAGUGUGGAAGAUUUCCAAACCCGGGGGCUUAGCUGCGACCUAGUAAUCGCCUAAGUUAAAAAUGUUGGGGAACGUCGCAUGGAAACAAAAAAAUUCCUACGCUCACCAAGAUCAAUCUAUGGAGAUGAAAGACUACGAGAGGGAGAGUCCGUCAACAUACCCUAGUAGAUCACUAUGCGGAAGCGUUCAGAAACUUGGUUGAUUUAGUCGACGCCUUCACGAUCCAAUCAUGAUUCAUACCAUGAUCCAAUCAUGAACGUCCCGAUCAUGUGUCGAAUGUACGACAGAUCCACGUUCAGCACACGUACGGCUCGAUGACGCCUUCACCACCUCGAUCCAGUGAGUGUGGGUGAAGUAGCAGUUGAGUUCUCCGGCAACAUGAUGGCAUGGUGGCGGUGGUGGUGGUGCUAUUCCGCCAGGGCUACAUCGAGCCCCACUUAAACCGCAAACAGAGGACAAAACAAUCUAGGGAGAGAGAGGGGCGCCAAGGGUUUGGUAUGUCCUCUUGGGGUGCCCCCUCCCCUCUACAUAUAUGUGGAGGGGCAUGGGGAAUAGCCCCUCCAAGCCUUAGGGCGCAACCAAGGUGGGAGGAGGUGGAAUCCUAGUCCUCCUCCUUCCCUUCCAUACAAAGGUGGACUUUCCACCUUUCCCAACUACUUGGGCCUUGAGGGAGUUGUGCGCCUGGACCAAUAAGACCAGGGUGCCUCCCCUCAGCCCAUGCAAACCCUUGGGACAUGGUGGAACCCUUGGUGGACUUAUGGACUAUUGGGGAACAUUGCAUCGGAAACAAAAAAAUUCCUACACUCACCAAGAUCAAUCCAGGACAUGAACAACUAUGAGAGGAAAGAUUGCAUCUACAUACACUUGUAGAUCACUAAGCGGAAGCGUUAAGGAAUGUCGUUGAUGUAGUUGAACGUCUCCGUGAUCACAUCACGAUCCAUCCCGCGAACUCCCGAUCAAGCAUCAAACGGACGACACCUCCGCGAUCAAGAUCUUUAUCCAGUCAACCAUGGUGAAGUCGCAACCCGAGUCCUCCGGUAGCACGAUGGCGUGGUGAGCUGGUGGAGCCAACACGUCGGCAGGGCUUUGUAGUAUGAUGGAGAGGAGAGGAGAAGAAGUAUGAUGGAGAGGAGAAGAAGUAUGAUGGAGAGGAGGAGCACCGUCGUAGCACGUUGUAGUGCAGCUACCCUCUCUCUACGUGUCUAUAUAUAGGGGGAGGGAGGAGGGUAGGGCACCCUAGGGUUUCCCCUAGGGGUCGGCCGCCAAGGGGUUCAGCUAGUGCUUGGGGUGGCCCCUCCCCAAGGCGCCUUACCUCCCAAGUUGGGGUGGCCGGCGGCCCUAGGGGGCGUGGCCACCUCCUAACCAUGGUGGGCUGAGGUUUGGGCGGCGCCUAGCCCCCUUGUGGGCUGGUGGCCCCCCUCUCCUUGGCCCAUGAGGCCACCCAACACUUGUCGGGGCCCCCCGAAAGCCCGUUCGUUAUUCCGUCGAUUACCCGGCAUGCCCUGGAACAAUUCCGGACUCUGAGUCCCUUCAUCGUAUAUAUGAAUCUUCACCUAUGAACAAUUCCGGAGUUCCUCAUCAUCUCCGGGAUCUCAUCAGGGACUUCGAACAACCUUCGGUCACCAACAUAAUAACUCGACAUCGUCACCAAACAUUAAGUGUGUAGACCCUACGGGUUCGAGAACUAUGUAGACAUGAUCGAGACACCGCCAUGGCUAAUAACCAAUAGGGGGACCUGGAUGUCCAUAUUGGUUCCUACAUAUUCUACGAAGAUCUUUACCGGUUGAACCUUGAUGCCAAGCAUUCCGUCAAUCUCGUACGUAGUUCCCUUUCUUCAUCGGUAUGUUACUUGACUGAUAUUCAAUUGUCAGUAUCUCCAUACCUAGUUCAAUCUCGUUACUAGCAGGCCUCUUUACUCGUUCCGUAAUACAAGAUCACGUUACUAACUCUUUAGCCACAAUGCUUGCAAGCUCAUUAUGAUGUUGUAUUACCGAUUGGACCCUGAGAUACCUAUAUGUCACACGGAGUAACAAAUCCCAGUCUUGAUCCAUGCCAACUCAACAGACACCCUCGGAGAUACAUGUAGAGCAUCUUUAUAGCGACCUAGUUACAUUGCGACCUUUGAUACAGACAAGGUACUCCCCCGAUGUCAGUGAGUUGCAUGAUCUCAUGGUCAUAGGAACAGAUACUUGACAUGCAGAAAACAAUAACAAUAAACUGACAUGAUCAUAUGCUACGCUCAUAGUUUGGGUAUUGUCCAUCACAUCAUUGUCCUAAUGAUGUGAUCCCCUUAUCAAAUGACAACUCAUGUCUGUGGCCAGGAAACCUUGACCAUCUUUGAUAAACGAGCUAGUCCAUUAGAGGCUCACUAGGGACACCGUAUUGUCUAUAUACCCACACAUAUAUUUUAGUUUGCAAUCAAUAUAGUUCUAGCAUGGAUAAUAAACGAUUAUCAUGAACAAGGAAAUAUAAUAAUAACCACUUUAUUAUUGCCUCUAGGGCAUAUUUCCAAUAGUUGCCCACUUUCACUAGAGUCAAUAAUCUAGCUCACAUCACUAUAUGUUUUACAUUAUAAUGUAUCUAACACCCAUACAGUUUUGGUGUUGAUCAUGUUUUGCUCGUGGAAGAGGCUUAGUCAACGGGUCUGUGACAUUCAUAUCCGUGUGCACUUUGCAAAUAUUUAUGCCGUCCUCCUUGAUGUCAUCGUGGAUGGAAUUAAAGCGUCACUUUAUGUGUAUAGUCCUCUUGUGAAACCUUGUUUCCUUGGCCAGAGCAAUGGCAAUAGUGUUGUCAUGCAACAGAGUCAUUGGGUCCAGUGCACUGGGCACAAUUCCAAGAUCCGUCAUGAACUGCUUCAUCCAGACAUCUUCCUUAGACGCCUCCGAGGCAACUAUGUACUCCGCUUCGCAUGUAGAAACAUCUAACAUGCUUUGCUUGGAACUGCACCACCUUACAGCUCCGCAAUUGAUAAUAUAUAUGUAUCCACUUUGAGACUUAGUGUCAUUCGGAUCGUUGUGAGAGAUUGUAUCGAUGUAACCCUUUACGACGAACUCUUGAUCACCACCAUAAAUGACAAACAUUUCCUUAGUCCAUUUCAUGUAGUUAAGGAUAUUCUUGACCACCAUCCAGUGUUCCAUUCCUGGAUCACUUUUAAACCUUCCUGACAUACUAAUGGCAAGGCUAACAUCUAGUCUUGUGCACAACAUUGCAUAUAUGAUAGAGCCUAUGGCAGAAGCAUAGGGGACGACACUCAUCUUUUCUCAAUCUUAUGCAGUCACUGUGCAUUGAGUCUUACUCAACUUCACACCUUGCAAUAUAGGCAAUAACCCUUUCUUGGAGUGGUCCAUUUUGAACUUCUUCAAAACUUUGCAAAGGUAUAUGCUCUGUGGAAGUCCUAUUAAGCUUCUCAGCCUAUCUCUAUAGAUCUUGAUGCAUAAUAAAGCAGCUCCUUCUAGGUCCUUCAUUGAAAAAAUCUUGUUCAAAUAUUCCUUUAUGCUUUCCAAAAAUUAUAUAUUGUUUCCAGUCAGCAAUAUGACAUCCACAUAUAAUAUUAGAAACGCUAUGGAGCUCCCACUCACUUUCUUGUAAAUAUAAGCUUCUCCAUAAACUUAUAUAAACCCAAACGCUUUGAUCACCUCAUAAAAGUGUUGAUUCCAACUCUGAGAUGUUUGCACCAGCCAAUAAAUGGAUCGAUGGAGCUUGCAUACUUUGUCAGCAUUCUUUGGAUUGACAAAACCUUCUCUUGCAACAUAUACAACUCUUCCUUACGGAAACUGUUAAGGAACCUUGUUUUGACAUCCAUCUGCGAAAUUACAUAAUAAAAAAUGCAGCUACUAACAUGAUUCAGACGGACUUAAGAAUCACUACGGGUGAGAAAGUCUCAUCAUAGUCAACUCCUUAAACUUGUGAAAAACCUUUCGCCACAAGUCGAGCUUUAUAAAUGGUGACAUUACGGUCCGCGUCCGUCUUCUUCUUAAAGAUCCACUUAGUCCGAAUGGCCUUUCGCUCUUCACGUAAUACUUCCAAACUCCACGCUUUGUUUUCAUACAUUGAUCCUAUCUCAGAUUUCAUGGCCUCUAACCAUUUGUUGGAAUCUGGACCCACCAUUGCUUCUCCAUAGCUCGUAGGUUCAUCGGUGUCCAACAACAUGACCUCUAGGACAGGGUUACUGUACCACUCAGGAGCAGUGUGUGUCCUUGUCGACUUACGAGGUUCAAUAGUAACUUGAUGUGAAGCUCCAUGAUCAACAUCAUUAGCUUCCUCUUCAACUAAUGUAGCCUCCACACAAACAUCUUUCUGUGUUGCACCACUCUCUGGUUCAAGUAAAGGUUCAAUAACCUCAUAAAGUUCUAUUUUCCUCCCACUCAAUUCUUUCGAGAGAAACUCUUUCUCGAGAAAUAAUCUGUUUUUAGCAACAAACACUUUGCCUUCGGAUCUGAGAUAGAAGGUAUACCCAACCGUCUCUUUUGGGUAUCCUAUGAUGACGCAUUUCUUCGCUCAGGGUUUGAGCUUUUUUGGCUGAAGCUUUUUGACAUAAGCAUCGCAUCCCCAAACUUUAAGAAACAUCAACUUUGGUUUCUUGCCAAACCAUAGUUCAUACGGAGUCGUCUCAACGGAUUUACAUGGUGCCCUAUUUAAAGUGAAUGCAGUUGUCUCUAACACAUAAACCCAAAUCGAUAGUGGGAAAUCGGCAAGAGACAUCAAAGAAUGCAACAUAUCUAAUAAAGUUUGAUUACGAUGUUCGGACACACCAUUACAUUGUUGUGUUCGAGGUGGCGUCAACUGUGAAACAAUUCCACAUUGUCUUAGGUGAUUGCCAAACUGAUAACUCAGAUAUUCUCCUCCUCGAUCAGAUCGUCGGAAUUUAAUCUUCUUGUUACGAUGAUUCUCAAAUUCCCUCUGAAAUUGCUUGAACCUUUCAAAUGUUUCAGACUUGUGUUUCAUUAAUCAAAUAUACCAAUAUCUACUUAAGUCAUCGAUGAAGGUGAGAAAGUAACGAUAUCCACCACGCGCUUCAAUGCUCAUCGCACCGCACACAUCAGUAUGUAUUAUUUCCAAUAAGUGACUUGCGUGUUCCAUUGUUCUGGAGAACAGGGUCUUAGUCAUCUUGCCCAUGAGGCAUGGUUCAGAUGUGUCGACUGAUUCAAAAUCAAGUGACUCCAAAAGUCCAUCAGCAUGGAGUUUCUUCAUGCAUUUUACACCAAUAUGACCUAAGUGCCAGUGCCACAAGAAAGUGAUACUAUCAUUAUCAACUCUUUAUCUUUUGGCAUCAAUUUUAUGAACAUGUGUAUCGCCACUAUCGAGAUUCAAUAAGAAUAAACCCCUCACAAUGGGUGCAUGACCAUAAAAGAUAUUUCCCAUAUAAAUAGAACAACUGGUAUUCUCUGAUUUAAAUGAGUAACCGUCUUGCAUCAAACAAGAUCCAGAUAUAAUGUUCAUGCUCAACUCAGGCACUAAAUAACAAUUAUUCAGGUUCAUUACUAGUCCCGAUGGUAACCGACGACAAUCACAUCAACCUUGGAACUGUUUCCCACACGCAUCAUCACUUCGUCCUUCACCAGCCUCCGCCUAUUCAGUAGUUCCUGCCUUGAGUUGCAAAUGUGAGCAACCGGACCGGUAUCAAAUACCCAUGCACUACAACGAGAGUUGGUAAGGUACACAUCAAUAACAUGUAUAUCAUAUAUACCUUGUUUCGUGUUGGCUGCCUUCUUGUCGGCCAGAUAUUUGGGGCAGUUCCGCUUCUAGUGGCUAGUUCCCUUGUAAUGAAAGCACCCAGUUUCUGGCUUGGGUCCAGCCUUGGGUUUCUUCACGAUAGGAGCAACUGCUUUGCCAAUCUUCUUCAAGUUACCCUUCUUGCCCUUGGCAUUCUUCGUGAAACUAGUGGUUUUAUUGACCAUCAACACUUGAUGCUCCUUCUGUAUUUCUGACUCAGCGACUUUCAACAUCGCAAAUAGCUCGGGGACUCGUUUGUUCAUCCCUUGCAUGUUAUAGGUCAUCACAAAGAUUUUGUAGCUAGGAGGCAGUAAUUUAAGAACUCUCUAAGUGAUUGCAUCUGGCGGGAGAGUAAUUCCGAACUCAGCCACACGGUUGGAAUACCCAGACAUUUUGAGUAUGUGCUCACUGACAGGCCCGCUCUCCUCCAUCUUGCAAGCAUAGAACUUAUCAGAGGUCUCAUACCUCUCGAUACGGGAAUUCUUUUUAAAAAUAAACUUCAACUCCUGGAACUUCUCAUAUGCUCCAUGAUGUUCAAAAUGUAUUUGAAGUCCCGGUUCUAAGACAUACAACACACCACAUCGAACUAUUGAGUACACUACUGGAAAAUAGUUUUUUGCCAUUUGCCUAGUCUUUGCCGUUUGCUAGCUGAUGGCAAAGAGUAUCUUUGCCAUCAGCUUCAACAAAGCAGACGGCAAAGCAUUGUCUGAUGGCAUAGAGUGUUUUUGCCAUCAGGGACAUCUUUGCCGUCAGCUAGCAGACGGCAAAGAGUCUCACAGCGAACGGCAAAGAUGUGGAUGGGCCCACCUGACCGCGGGGUGGUUAGGUCAAACAGGAGUCCCUUUGCCGUCUACUAGCGGACGGAAAAGAGUCCGGAGGCAGACGGCAAAGAGUCUAGACUCUUUGUCGUCCGCCGGCAGACGACAAAGAGCUAACUUCGUUAACGGCUCCUUCCCCCCCCCCNNNNNNNNNNNNNNNNNNNNNNNNNNNNNNNNNNNNNNNNNNNNNNNNNNNNNNNNNNNNNNNNNNNNNNNNNNNNNNNNNNNNNNNNNNNNNNNNNNNNNNNNNNNNNNNNNNNNNNNNNNNNNNNNNNNNNNNNNNNNNNNNNNNNNNNNNNNNNNNNNNNNNNNNNNNNNNNNNNNNNNNNNNNNNNNNNNNNNNNNNNNNNNNNNNNNNNNNNNNNNNNNNNNNNNNNNNNNNNNNNNNNNNNNNNNNNNNNNNNNNNNNNNNNNNNNNNNNNNNNNNNNNNNNNNNNNNNNNNNNNNNNNNNNNNNNNNNNNNNNNNNNNNNNNNNNNNNNNNNNNNNNNNNNNNNNNNNNNNNNNNNNNNNNNNNNNNNNNNNNNNNNNNNNNNNNNNNNNNNNNNNNNNNNNNNNNNNNNNNNNNNNNNNNNNNNNNNNNNNNNNNNNNNNNNNNNNNNNNNNNNNNNNNNNNNNNNNNNNNNNNNNNNNNNNNNNNNNNNNNNNNNNNNNNNNNNNNNNNNNNNNNNNNNNNNNNNNNNNNNNNNNNNNNNNNNNNNNNNNNNNNNNNNNNNNNNNAGAAAAAGAGAAGAAGAAGAGAAGAAGAGAAUAAGAAGGAGAAGAAGAGAAAAAAGAAGAAGAAGUUGAUUUUUUAUUAUUUGGUAUUUAGUGGUAGCUAGACUCUGUUUUUGUUAUUUUUGUUGUUGUUUAGUGCUAUCUAGGUUUAGCGAUAGGUUUAGUUAGCUUGGUUAGUUAGGUUAGUUAGUUAGUUAGCUUAAUAGAAAGAAUAGGAAGGAGAAGAAGAGGGGGAGGAGGAGAAGAGGAGAANNNNNNNNNNNNNNNNNNNNNNNNNNNNNNNNNNNNNNNNNNNNNNNNNNNNNNNNNNNNNNNNNNNNNNNNNNNNNNNNNNNNNNNNNNNNNNNNNNNNNNNNNNNNNNNNNNNNNNNNNNNNNNNNNNNNNNNNNNNNNNNNNNNNNNNNNNNNNNNUCAUCCUCCUUCUCCUUCUUCUUGAUUUCUUCUUCUUUUUCUCCUCCUCCUCUUUCAUCUCCUCUAUCUUAUUCUCCUUACCUUAUUUUCCCCCGACAAUGAGAUAAUUAGCCCAUUUAGCUACAAAAUGGCAUAAAAACCUUGGUUAGCUCAUGAAUAUUAUAUUCUUAACUUGUUUUCCUAUAAAAUGACAUAAUUAGAAUAUUUGUGUUGAUCGGGUGGAUUUACAUGUGAUAGUUGUCUCAUCGCUGUGAGGUCUGCUGUGCGAAGACCUCCCCAUGCGUUGUACGAGCUCCGCACCUGCAUUCGUGGGUCAGUACAAAUUUCAUCUCCUCCCCGCCCCUUCAUUUACUGUGGCUCGGUUUCCGGAUGAAACUUUCUAGAUUUAGGUAAUUAAAUUAAUUUAUCAGUAUGCGUGACCAGUAUGCGUCUCCCGUUCGAAAGGGUGAUCCUUUCGAAUUGUCCAACAUUAUCCAUGGACGACCCGAGUAUGUGUAGAUUGGGUUCGUUUUCCUGUAUGCUGUGCUCUGGAUCCGAUGCGAAAUUUCGUCAGUGCCUCCCUGUUGUUCUCUGGAUGCACAUCCUCUCUGUUUAUUGCGGAGACGUGUAUCAGUAGAACAUCGGGGAGGUGCUGCCGAAAUUUUGCGUUGGAUCCGGAGCAGAGCAUGGUGGGAUUAGGACCUAUCUUUACCUAUUAGCGUGUAGGUUGCCUCGACGUAAUAAAAAUGGCGAACCUGAUUAACCGAUGAAUAUAAAUGCUAAAUUAUAUAUAAAUAUAUUUCUUCUGUCUUUAGUAGCUAGGCAAGAUGAGUGAUCGUGCGUGGAUGUAUACCGGUCACCCUAGUCACAAAGAGAUGGCGAAAGAAUGGUUUGUAAAAACAAAGGAAUUUGUGAAAGCCGCAUUCGCAAAUGGCCAGGAAAGAAACUAUUGCCCGUGUCCUGGAUGCGACAACUAUAAAAAGACGACAAAGGCUGUAAUGAUUAAACACCUGCAAAGGAGGGGUUUUAAGCCUAAUUAUACGGUGUGGACAUUUCAUGGUGAGUCUAUACAACUCACAAGAGGUGAGGUGGUCCAUCGUCGCACGAACGAGCAUGGUACCGGGAUCGAAGACAUGGUGCCAGACUUUGAUGAUGCUCGGGAUUCGGAAGAUGAGAUGGAGGAAUCUGCAAAGGCCUUUUAUGAAAUGUUGGAGCCUUGAAAACGUCCUCUCCAUGAGCACACUGAGCUCUGUCAGCUGGAUGCAAUUGCACAAGUAAUGGCUCUGAAGGCUCAAUUCAACUUGGGAAGAGAAUGCUGCGACGAGAUGAUGACACUAUUUGGACGCUUCCUACCCAAAGGCCAUGUCAUGCCUGCAAACCUGUACCAGUCGGACAAAAUACUUCGUGUACUUAAGAUGACCUAUGAGAAGAUAGAUGCAUGUGACAAAGGAUGUGUCUUAUUUAGGAAGGAGUAUGCACACUUGGACUAUUGUCCCAAUUGCGAGUCUUGCAGGUAUCUUGUGGUAGACAACGGUAUGGGUGAGAAGAGGCAGACCAAAAUCGCAGUUAGUGUUAUUCGGUAUAUGCCAAUCGUACCAAGACUUCAACUUCUUUUCAUGGUCGAAGAGACAGCCAGACAGAUGACAUGGCACAAAUUGGGCAAAAGAACCGAACUAGAUGCGAGUGGGAAUAAGAUGGUGGUACACACAUCGAAUGGGGAAGCGUGGAAACAUUUCGAUGGAUUGCAUCAGGAUAAAGCGGAAGAUCCAAGGAAUCCUCGAGUUUGCAUCGCCACGGAUGGUUUUAACCCCUUCGGCAUGACGGCAACUAAAUAUAGUUGUUGGCAUGUAUUUGUCAUUCCACUCAAUCUCCCCCCCCCCCGAGUCAGAUUAUGCAAAGAAAGAACAUAUUUCUGACGUUGAUAAUUCCAGGGCGCAAUUAUCCGGGGAAGAAUAUGAAUGUGUACCUGCAGCCGCUUAAGGAUGAAUUGGAAGACGCUUGGGAUAAUGGGGUCAAGACAUACGAUGCCGCUAGAAAACAAAACUUCAAAAUGCAUGUGUGGUACAUGUACUCUAUGCAUGACUUGCCGGCGUAUGCAGUAUUCUCUGGAUGGUGUGUGCAUGGAAGGUUCCCGUGCCCCCAAUGCAAGGAAGCUCUUCAGUUUCAUUGGUUGCAGGAGAGUCGGAAGUAUUCUUGCUUUGACUUGCAUAGAUAGUUCCUGGAUCCUGACCAUCAGUUCAGAAAAGACAAGAAGAACUUUACCAAAGGUAAAGUUGUCAAAAACUUGGCACCACCUGCGUUGACAGGCCAACAGAUCCUGGAUCAGUUACACUCCCUCGAGCCUGAUCCAGAGCGGCCAGAGUAUUUCAAGGGGUAUAAUUCAAAACACACCUGGACUCAAAAGCCAUGCUUCUGGGAUCUGCCUUACUUCAAAGACCUCCUUCUUCCACACAAUAUCGACAUGAUGCACACUGAAAAGAAUAUCGGAGAGGCUAUUUUUGGUACAUUGUUUGACAUAGAUGGGAAUACAAAGGAUAAUACUAAGGCUAGAGUCGAUCAAGAGACACUAUGUCAUAGACCGUUACAAAACAUGCGAGAAGGCAAAGGAAAGCAGAAGUGGUCGAAGCCAAAGGCUUGGUUCAAUCUUGGAAGGCCAGCUAUGAGGGAAAUUAUCUUGUGGGUCAAAAUGCACUUGAUGUUCCCCGAUGGGUAUGCAACGAAUCUAAAGAGGGGAGCGAGUCUUGAAAAAUUAAAAAACUUUGGUCUCAAGAGUCAUGAUUGACACAUAUGGCUAGAGCGGUAAUGCCGGUGAAGUUACGUGGCUUUAUUCCUGAGGAUGAAUGGCUAGUACUGGCGGAGCUGAGCUAUUUCUUAGGUGUUCUUUGUGCAAAAGAAUUGUUGCCUGGCGUGGUAGAAGACAUGGAGGAGUUUGCACCGGAGUUGUUGUGCAAGUUAGAGAAGAUCUUUCCACCGGGCUUCUUUAAUCCAAUGCAGCAUUUGAUUUUACAUCUACCGACCGAGGCAAGAUUGCGUGGGCCCGUGCAAGAUUGUUGGUGCUAUGCAAGUGAGAGGAUGCAGAAGACCCUUCGAGCUAAAUGAAAAUUAAGCGUAGAAUUGAAGCAUCGAUGGUUGAGGCAUUCAUUACUGAGGAGGUGGCAAACUUUGUGAUAGCACACUUUGAAGCCAAAAAUCAUCAUUUGCAUAAUCUGAAUCCUCGGCACAAUGAUGCAGACCCUAAAAAAGGUGGGUCCAACCUCAGCCUAUUCAAAGGGAAGCUCGCACCUGCCGUUGCUUCAAAACCAAUAACGUUGGAUGUCGAAGAAUGGCGGAAAAUUUCGUUGUAUAUCUUCAACAACCUAACAGAAGUGCGGUCGUACAUCGAGUGAGUUCUCGGCACAUUUUCCCGUAACUUCUAAUUCAUUUGAACUGCUCUUAUUCCCGGAUAUUUCAAACAGCCGUUACGUCGCCAAAUUCUCGGAUGGAGCGGUGAUCGAAAAUGAUUUCGUCGAAGAGUAUGAGCUUCUGUCAAAGACACGAGGCGGCUAUCCCGGUUUCAUCUCUUGGUUCAAACAAACGGUAAUUAUCAAUAAUGGACCAUUUCAUCUCUUGGUUCAAACAAACGGUAAUUAUCAACAUUGCAACAAUCGUUUCGUAUUAAACUUUUAGGCUAAUUCAGAGUCUAUGGACGCCGAAUUGAGACAAGUCGCUAAUGGCUUUGACUAUAAGGUCCAUUCAUUUGAGAAAUACAACAUCAACGGGUACCUCUUUCAUACCUUUGGCAAAGAGGUAUCUAUGCCCGACCGGAAAUCUAAAAAUUGUGGUGUCUCUGCCAUCGGCGAAGGUGUUAUCGAGUAUUAUGGAAGAGUUGAAGCCAUUUAUGAACUUCAAUUCUAUGGUGAAAACCCACCGAACGUCGUAGUCUUCAAAUGUUAUUGGUUCCAGCCGAAUGAGACUAGAAGGACUCAUGAACAUAUAGGACUAGUAGAAAUCAAUCCAAACACCCAUUUAGAUGUUCCCGAUGUCUAUAUUACGGCUCAACAGGCGACCCAGCUUUUCUAUCUACCGUGGGCAUGCCAAACGGAUAAGAAUCUGGAAGGUUGGUAUGUUGUUUAUGAAGGGCCUCCACAUGUCAGACCACCUCUCCCAAAUGAACAGGAUUAUGAACCUCACAUUAACCCAAACACACAUGAUGGAGAAUUCUUCCAAGAAACACAUCUUUCCAAGAAACGUUUCAAGAACCGUCGUGCUUCACCCAAGAACAUGGAAGUAGACAGCGACAAUGAAUCCAACUCCAGCCCUGAGCCGGAACCAGAAGACCUGGAACUCGUAGAGGUUACUGAUGCGGAUGACCUUUCAAUGCUUCAACGAUUAAAGAAAGGCCUUUCACAACUUCACGUCCUUGAACCCGGCGAGCACGUCAUUCAUGAAGACAUGCGUGAUAGUGAUGAUGAUGAUUAUUAGUUAGUAAGAUUCACAACUUAAAUUAUAUUUAUUUUAAUAUUUAUUAUUCAUGUAUAUAUUAUUAUUCAUGUCAGUUAUUCAAUUUUUUUUAUGUUCUACUAAUUUCUUUUAAUCUUUAUCAUGGCAGGUCACUAGGUGUUGAAAUAUGGUGGGCGGUGGUCUAGAUCGCUCGACGGGUUCUUCCCAGGCGCCCCGCACGAGGGGUGGUACUUCCCUUGCACCCCUAUCUCUCCGUCGAGCCUUGGCAGACAGUCUGUCGACACCGCCCGUGGGUUCUUCUUCGUCGGCGGCAUUUCCCACUGGGAGAGGUGUUGGUCGGGUAGGGAAGAAGGGGAAGGGUACAGUGAGAGGUGGUGUCCGCGGAAGAUCCAGGAGGACUGUUGAGCCGUCCUCGCCACCACCACCAGCUCAUUCACCCGAGCAUAGGACUACUAUGGUCGACCCGUGUGCGGAGGAGGCUACGAGGACUCCGUUCCAGGAGCCUGGUGUUGACAGGCAUUCGUCCCAUGAGACUCCGGUCCAGGAUCAGCCUCGGGUCGAUGUGCAUUCGGCCCACGAGACUACGGUUCAGGAGGCUUCAACCGACGUGGAGAGGCCCGGAUGGGAGACCUGGCCGGAUCGGACCGAGUUGUCGGAUUGGACCGAGGGUCCGGGUGGCUCAGGUGGCGGGGAUGGCGGGGAUGAGCUUACGGUUAGUGAAGGCGAUGUUCAGAUGGACGGGGCCACCGUGUACAAGCGUGGUAGUACACGUCUCCCUGUCGUGCCGGCUACCCACGAGCACAGGCCGGUGAUUAAACCUGAAGGAGAUAGGUAAGUACAUUUACUCCUUUUUUUAGCUUUUGCCUUCAAGUUUGUUCAAAUAUCUAAUGCUUGACCUUAUCAUACUGCAGGGGAUGGUUACACCCUCUUGGAGUCCGCAGGCCGAACUCCGUCCUUGGUGUGCUUUGCCGGACAAAUUUCCCUUGGUUUGUCACGUUGCCUGGUGAGGGUCACAUUCCUACACUAGGAUUUUCCUGGGAGCACUACCAGGCUGCGCAGGCCCGGCCGGAGGAGAUUAUUGAUGGUGUCUUGUGCCACACGAGGGCCGAGAUAGUAAUCAAGAGCUUUUGGGUAAAUUAUCCUUUUACACAAUCUAAAAUUAACAAUAUAGCUAAUUAUUGUACUAAUCGGUGUUUUCACGUUUGAUUGCAGACCUUCUAUAGGUGUGAGGAUGGAUAUGAGGAGGAGGCGGCCAAGGUUCUCGAGGCCGAGUGUAGGCGGUUACUACAGAACUUACGCCACGAGGCUCGGCCGCAGGCUAUUCGAGACUACUACGCCACGCGUGGUAUUAAGAAGGAGAAGAAGGAUUGCUGCGGAAAGUUUCUGAAGAAGGAGCAAUACAUGAAGGUAAUUACCUAUUCUUAAGUCCUUCUACGUAGUUUUCUUGAUUUCAUUCAUAGGCGUAGCACUCAAAAUUCUUUCUAAUAACUUACAGGUGCCCCCGAGAUGGUGCGCGGAUAACAUGGAUUGUUGGGAGGCGUUGGUUGAUGAGUGGUGCACAGGCAGCUGGCGAGCCGUCCACGAGAAUGCGAAGGAUCGGCGUAGCCAAAUGGUUGGUGUGCCACACCAUCAAGGUAGCGCCAACUUACUUCAGUUCGGAUGAAAUUGGGUAUGUGGUUUGCUUCAUGAUUCAUGCAAUUCAUUCUUCAUGCUAAUAUUUUGUUCCUCUCUUUUAGGCGCAUCACAAUAAGACGGAGAUGCCACACUUGUACGACCUUUAUGGCAUGGCCCAUACUGCCUCGUACAAGAAGGAGAAGGCAUUCUCUGAGUAUGACCUGGAUGAUCCCAAUAACUUCACCUACAUAUCAUCCCACCACAAGCUCGUGGCAUACAGGGACGCGGGGAAGGCUACGAAAGGGGAUGAUUUUAACCCUAGCCAGGAACCUUUGGAUCCAGAGCUGGUGAUGAUAUCUGGUGGCGGGAGGCCCCAUGGCUCGAUAGCCAUUGGAGAUGGGAUAAUACGUUGUCCACUCACUCUCCCGGAGAUCAAGGCGUGCCAGUCGAGCAGCUGUCCUGAGAUAACGCGUCGUCCACGGCCAGUCGAUCUUGCCAUCGAGGUUAGUUGUACGGACUAAGAACACUUUCAUCCAUUUCAUUAUGUGUGUCACCAUAGAUCAUUACUAUGGUAACGAGGAAUGGUGUUUCAGGCUGCUCUUCAGAAAGAGAGAUUGGUAAGCCAGGCUGUUCUUGAGAAAGAGAGAUUGGCAAGCCAGGCUGCUCUUGAGAAAGAGAGAUUGGCAAGUCAGGCUGCUCUUGAUGAGAGGGACCAGACCACGACACGAUUGAUUGAGGAGGCGAGGUCCCGGAAUGAGGCGGGUCAACGGGCCCUGUACGAGCUUUUUGUGGUAAUUUUAUUUCACCUUAGCCAAAUCAUGUGUGUAAUGUCUGUUUCAUUACUAACUAAUACGACCCACUCUUCAGGGUCUGUGCGAGAAGAGCGGUCAAGUCCCUCCGCCGAUGCCCGUCUUCUCUUCGAUUGGCACGGUGAGUUUCAUUAUAAACUAGUAUUUAUAAUUGAGUGUCAUCAUGCUAACUGAGACAUUGCAAAAUAUCUAUUCUGCAGAAUAACUCCCGAGCGGCAUCGCACGACCCUUCUCUAGGUGUUUCUCCUCCUUGAUGACCACUACGGUAAGUUUCUCUUCUCCUCUUUCAUAUUCUCCAUGCCUUAAUUUCCCCAACAAUGACAUAAUUAGCCCAUUUAACUCCAAAAAGACAUAGUUAGCUAAUUUAGCUCCAAGAAGCGGAGGAUAGGAGAAGAAAUAGGAAAAAUGAAAAGAAAGAAGAAGAAGUUGAUUUUUUAUUAUUUGGUAUUUAGUGGUAGCUAGACUCUGUUUUUGUUAUUUUUGUUGUUGUUUAGUGCUAUCUAGGUUUAGCGAUAGGUUUAGUUAGCUUGGUUAGUUAGGUUAGUUAGUUAGUUAGCUUAAUAGAAAGAAUAGGAAGGAGAAGAAGAGGGGGAGGAGGAGAAGAGGAGAAGAGGAGGAGCUGUCUCUUAUACACAUCUNNNNNNNNNNNNNNNNNNNNNNNNNNNNNNNNNNNNNNNNNNNNNNNNNNNNNNNNNNNNNNNNNNNNNNNNNNNNNNNNNNNNNNNNNNNNNNNNNNNNNNNNNNNNNNNNNNNNNNNNNNNNNNNNNNNNNNNNNNNNNNNNNNNNNNNNNNNNNNNNNNNNNNNNNNNNNNNNNNNNNNNNNNNNNNNNNNNNNNNNNNNNNNNNNNNNNNNNNNNNNNNNNNNNNNNNNNNNNNNNNNNNNNNNNNNNNNNNNNNNNNNNNNNNNNNNNNNNNNNNNNNNNNNNNNNNNNNNNNNNNNNNNNNNNNNNNNNNNNNNNNNNNNNNNNNNNNNNNNNNNNNNNNNNNNNNNNNNNNNNNNNNNNNNNNNNNNNNNNNNNNNUUCCCCAACAAUGACAUAAUUAGCCCAUUUAGCUCCAAAAUGCCAUAAUAAGCUCAAAAUGGCAUAAGAACCUUGGUUAGCUCAUUAAUUUUAUAUACUUAGCUUGUUUUCCUCUAAAAAGGGAUAAUUAGCCCAUUUAGCUCCAAAAAGACAUAGUUAGCUAAUUUAGCUCCAAGAAGAGGAGAAGAGGAGAAGAACUGUCUCUUAUACACAUCUGACGCUGCNUCCCGAGCGGCAUCGCACGACCCUUCUCUAGGUGUUUCUCCUCCUUGAUGACCACUACGGUAAGUUUUUCUUCUCCUCUUUCAUAUUCUCCUUGCCUUAAUUUCCCCAACAAUGACAUAAUUAGCUCAUUUAGCUCCAAAAUGCCAUAAUAAGCUCAAAAUGGCAUAAGAACCUUGGUUAGCUCAUUAAUAGUAUAUACUUAGCUUGUUUUCCUCUAAAAUGGGAUAAUUAGCCCAUUUAGCUCCACAAAGACAUAGUUAGCUAAUUUAGCUCCAAGAAGAGGAGAAGAGGAGAAAUGAAAAGGAAGACCAAAAAGAAGANNNNNNNNNNNNNNNNNNNNNNNNNNNNNNNNNNNNNNNNNNNNNNNNNNNNNNNNNNNNNNNNNNNNNNNNNNNNNNNNNNNNNNNNNNNNNNNNNNNNNNNNNNNNNNNNNNNNNNNNNNNNNNNNNNNNNNNNNNNNNNNNNNNNNNNNNNNNNNUUCUCCUCCUCCUCCUAUUUCUUCUCCUCUUUCAUAUUCUCCUUGCCUUAAUUUCCCCAACAAUGACAUAAUUAGCCAAUUUAGCUCCUAAAAGACAUUAUAAGCUCAAAAUGGCAUAAGAACCUUGGUUAGCUCAUUAAUAUUAUAUACUUAGCUUGUUUUCCUCAAUAAUGACAUAAUUAGCCCAUUUAGCUCCAAAAAGACAUAGUUAGCUAAUUUAGCUCCAAGAAGAGGAGAAGAGGAGAAAUGAAAAGAAGGAAGANNNNNNNNNNNNNNNNNNNNNNNNNNNNNNNNNNNNNNNNNNNNNNNNNNNNNNNNNNNNNNNNNNNNNNNNNNNNNNNNNNNNNNNNNNNNNNNNNNNNNNNNNNNNNNNNNNNNNNNNNNNNNNNNNNNNNNNNNNNNNNNNNNNNNNNNNNNNNNNNNNNNNNNNNNNNNNNNNNNNNNNNNNNNNNNNNNNNNNNNNNNNNNNNNNNNNNNNNNNNNNNNNNNNNNNNNNNNNNNNNNNNNNNNNNNNNNNNNNNNNNNNNNNNNNNNNNNNNNNNNNNNNNNNNNNNNNNNNNNNNNNNNNNNNNNNNNNNNNNNNNNNNNNNNNNNNNNNNNNNNNNNNNNNNNNNNNNNNNNNNNNNNNNNNNNNNNNNNNNNNNNNNNNNNNNNNNNNNNNNNNNNNNNNNNNNNNNNNNNNNNNNNNNNNNNNNNNNNNNNNNNNNNNNNNNNNNNNNNNNNNNNNNNNNNNNNNNNNNNNNNNNNNNNNNNNNNNNNNNNNNNNNNNNNNNNNNNNNNNNNNNNNNNNNNNNNNNNNNNNNNNNNNNNNNNNNNNNNNNNNNNNNNNNNNNNNNNNNNNNNNNNNNNNNNNNNNNNNNNNNNNNNNNNNNNNNNNNNNNNNNNNNNNNNNNNNNNNNNNNNNNNNNNNNNNNNNNNNNNNNNNNNNNNNNNNNNNNNNNNNNNNNNNNNNNNNNNNNNNNNNNNNNNNNNNNNNNNNNNNNNNNNNNNNNNNNNNNNNNNNNNNNNNNNNNNNNNNNNNNNNNNNNNNNNNNNNNNNNNNNNNNNNUGUAUAUAUGGAUGAACAAUUUAUGUGCAACUAUAUGUAUGUAUAUAUGGAAGAAACUUUGUAUGUGUUGGUUCUUUUGAUAUAUGGGAUGUACGUUGAUGAACAAAUGGCAUUGAUGAGUUUUAUAUGUAUAUCAUAUAUGUGUUGUGACCUAUUUAUCAUAUAUGUGCUAUGAAUUAUAUGUAUAUGUGCUGUGAAAUAGAAAAAAUAAACAAAAAUGUGACAAUAUAGGCUCUUUGCCGUCUGCCAGAUGAUGGCAAAGGCCUUUGCCAUCAGCUGACCGACGGCAAAGGUGCCACGUGACGCCCAACUAUGCAACCUGGGCAGUAGCAGAUGACCAUAUAGUAUCUUUGCCAUCUGCUUCCACGGGGGCAGACGACAAAGAAGAGGGCACAGAGGAGGGGGAGGAGGUGGAGGCUGACGGCCAAGAAGAGGGGGAGGCAGACGGCACAGAAGAGGGGGAGGCAGACGGCAAAAAGAGGGGGGAGGCAGACGACACAGAGGAGGGGGGGGGAGGAGGGGGAGGCAGACGACAAAGAAGAGGGGGAAGUAGAUGGCACAGAAGAGGGGAGGCAGACGGCAAAUCUUCCGUUAGCCCCUAACGGAGGCAACGCCUAUCGGCUGCCGUCUCGACCACUUUGCCGACUGCUCUUAUGAAAAGGUGACAGCAAAGCUCUUUGUCGUCUGCUUCGGUGAGACAAACGACAAAGAAGCUACAAUGCCGUCGUAGGCUGACGCAGAAAUUUUGCCGACAGUGAGAUUCUUUGCCGUCUGUGAUAUUCUCUUUUCCGUCCGUCAUAUACUCUUUGCCGUCUGUGAUGGGCAAAGAAGCUAAUUCCUGUAGUGGUAGUCAUUAGAACGUGUCUGCCAGAUGUUCAUAAUGUCUGCAGACGACUCUGGAGGGGGUGCCACAUCGAGCGGUGCAUCAAGGACAUAAGCCUUUUGGGAAACCGUGAGGACAAUUCUCAGAAUACGGGCCCAGUCUACAAAUUUACUUCCAUCAUCUUUCAGCUUGGCUUUCUCUAGGAACGCAUUGGAAUUCAGGGGUGCUACUACCCUAGCCAUAGAUCUACAACAUAACUUUUCAAAGAUUUCUUAGACUAUUCUUUAAGAUAAUGAGUUUAUUUAAUCAUAUUACGUACAAACUCCUAGUCAAAUUGACAUCCCUCCGGUCAUCCAAGUGUUACAUGAUCCAAAUUCACCAACCCAAGUCAGAUCAUCACGUGAGAUGAGGUGGUUUCAAUGGUGAACAUAUCCAUGUUGAUCAUAUAUACUAUAUCACUCAUGUUCGACCUUUCGAUCUCUUGUGUUUCGAGGCCAUGUGAGUACAUGCUAGGCUCAUCAAGUUUAACCCCAGUGUUCUGCACGUGGAAAACUCGUUUGUACCCAUUGUAUGAGAACGUAGAGUUUAUCACACCUGAUCAUCACGUGGUGCUUCCAAAUGACAAACUUACGCAAUGGUGCACACUCAGGGACAACAAAAUUUUAUCUUAAACUUUUAGUGAGGGAUCACCUUGUAAUGCUACCUUCGCCCUAAGUAAAAUGAUAGUCAUAAAAGGAUUAACAUCACAUGCAAAUCAUAAGUGACAUGAUAUGGCCAUGAACUUGUGCUUUUCAUCUCAGUUUCCAAAGCACCAGCAUGAUCUACAUCAUCACCAGCAUGACACCAUGAUCUCCAUCCUCAUGAUCUCCAUUUUCAUGUUGCCGUCAGGGUUGUCGUGCCAAGCAUUCUUCUACUACUAUUGCUACUGUCUAGCGAUAAAGUAAAGCAUUACAUAGCGCUUAAUGAUUGACAUGCAGGUCAUACAAUUAUUAAAGACAACCCUAUCGCUCCUGCCGGUUGUCGUAUGCAUCGAUACGCAAGUUGAUGAUAAAUAUUACACAACAUGAUCAUCUAAUACAUCAAAUAUAUUUCAUCAUGUCUUUUGCCGUAUCAUAUCACAACAUACCCUACAAAAACCAGUUAGACACCCUCUAAUUUGUUGUUGCAUGUUUUACGUGGCUGCAAUAGGUAUCUACCAAGAACGAUUCUUACCUACGCAAAACCAUAAUGCUGAUAUAGAAGUUGCUAUUUAACCUUAUAUAAGGACCACCUUCGUGAAAUCUGAUUCAACUAAGGUGGGAGAGACAGACAACCGCCAGCCAUCUUAUGCAACAAAGUCACAUGUCAGUCGAUGGAACCGGUCUCUCGUACAUGGACGAGUAAGGUUGGCCCGGGCUACUUCAUCCCACAAAACCGCUGAAUCAAGAAAAUACUAAGGAAGGAAACAAUAUGAGUAUCAACAAACACAAACUCCUUUGUGUUCUACUCGUGAUGUCAUCUACUCAUAGACCAAGCUCAAUCUUGGGGAAUGUUGCAUGGGAAACAAAAAGAUUCCUACCCUCACCAAGAUCAAUCUAGGUGAAGAACAUCUACGAGAGGAGAGAUUGCAUCUACAUAUCCUUGUAAAUUGCUAAGUGGAAGCGUUAAGGAACGCGGUUCAUGUAGUUCAACGUGUUCACGAUCCAAUCACGAUCCAUCUCGCAAACUCCCAAUCAAGCGUCGAACGGACGGCACGUUCGCGUUCAACAUACGUACAGCUUGAUGAUGCCUUCACCUCCUUGAUCCUGCGAGCGAUGGUGAAGUAGCAGCCUGAGUCCUCUGGCAACACGAUGGCGUGGUGAGGUGGAGGUGGUGACAGCUCAGCGGGGCUUCGCUACGCGCUAUGGAGAGGAGAUGAACUACAAGGGAGAGGAGGAGGAGCGUCAUAGCACAUUGUAGUGUGUCUCCCCUCUCUCUUUAUAUAUAGGGGGAGGAGGGUGGGGCGCCUUAGGGUUUCCCCUAGGGGCCGGCGGCCAAGGGGUGCGGCUAGGGCUUGGGGUGGCCCCUCCCCAAGGCGCCUUGCCACCGAAUUUAGGGUGACCAGCGACCCUAGGGGUGUGGCCAUCUCUUAGCCAUGGUGGGCUGAGGUUGGGGCGGCGUCCCGCCCCCUUGUAGGAUGGUGUGCCCCCUCUCCAUGGCCCAUGAGCCCCCCAACACUUGUCAGGGCCCCCGAAAACCCUUUCAGUACUCCGUCGAUUCCCUGGCAUGCCAUGGAAAUAUUACGGACUCCAAUACCCUUCAUCCUAUAUAUGAAUCCUCACCUACAGACCAUUCCGGAGUUCCUUGUCAUAUUUGGAUCUCAUCUGGGACUCCGAACAAUCUUCGGUCACCAACAUAAUAACUCGACUAUGCUUAUAUCGUCACCAAAGGUUAAGUGUGUAGACCUAGUCGGUUGGAGAACUAUGUAGACAUGACCGAGACACCUCCACGGCCAAUAGCCAAUAAUGGGACCUGGAUGUCCAUAUUGGUUCCUACAUAUGCUAUGAAGAUCCUUCUCGGUGGAACCUUGAUGUCAAGUAUUCAGUCAAUACCAUAUGUAGUUCCUUUUGUUCAUCGGUAUGUUACUUGCCCAAGAUUCAAUCGUCGGUAUCUCCAUACCUAGAUCAAUCUCAUUACCGACAAGUCUCUUUACUCGUUCUGUAAUACAAGAUCAUGUGACUAACUCUUUAGUCACAUUGCUUGCAAGCACAUUAUGAUGUUGUAUUACCAAGUGGGCCCUGAGAUACCUCUCCGUCGCAAGCAGUAAAAAAUCAAAGUCUUGAUCCAUGCCAACUCAACAUACACCCUCAGAGAUACCUGUAGAGCAUCUUUAUAGUCGCCCAGUUACGUUGUGACGUUUGAUACACACAAGGUACUCGUCCUCUGUCAGUGAGUUGCAUGAUCUCAUGGUCAUAGGAACACAUACUUGACAUGCAGAAAACAAUAGCAAUAAACUAACAUGAUCAUAUGCUACGUUCAUAGUUUCGGUCUUGUCCAUCACAUCAUUCUCCUAGUGAUGUGAUCCCAUUAUCAAAUGACAACUCAUGUCUGUGGCCAGGAAACCUUGACCAGCUUUGAUCAACGAGCUAGUCCAUAAGAGGAUCACUAGGGAGACGGUGUUGUCUAUGUACCCACACAUGAAUUUGAGUUUCGAAUCAAUACAAUUCUAGCCUGGAUAAUAAAAGAUUAUCAUGAAUAAGGAAAUAUAAUAAUAACCACUUUAUUAUUGCCUCUAGGGCAUAUUACCAACCGUGAAUCCUGUGGAAAUUUCUGAAACCUUCUAGAAGCUUCUAGAUACAAUACCAAAAAAACUGAAACUUUUCCGGUAGCUAAAAUAUGACUUCCCAUAUAUAAUAUUACCUCCGAACCAUUACGGAGCACCUCGUUACAUCUAGGAUCUCAUCUGGGACUACGAAGAACAUUCGGUCACCAACACAAUAACUCAACUAUGUCUAUAUUGUCAUCGAUUGUUAAGUGUGCACGCCGUGCAGGUUCGAGGACUAUGCAGACAUGACCGAGACACCUCUACGAUAAAUAACCAACAGAGUGACCUGGAUAACCAUAUUGGUUCUUACAUAUUCUAUGAAGAUAUAUAUCGGUCAAACCAGCGAUGUCAAGUAUUUAGUUCAUCCCAUAUGUAGUUACCUUUGCCCAUGGUAUAUUACUUGCCCAAGAUUUGAUCGUCGGUAUCUCCAUACCUAGUUCAAUCUCAUUACCGGCAAGUCUCUUUACUAGUUCUGUAAUACAAGAUCUCGUGACAAACUCUUUAGCCACAUUGCAUGCAAGCUUAUUGUGAUGUUGUAUUAUCGAGUGGGCCCCAAGAUACCUCUCUGUCAUACAAAGUGUCAAAUCAUAGUCUUGAUCCAUGCCAACUCCACACACACCCUCGGAGAUACCUAUAGAGCCCCUUUAUAGUCACCCGGUUACAUUGUGACGUUUGAUACACACAAGGCAUUCCUCCGGUGUCAAUGAGUUAUAUGAUCUCAUGGUCAUAGGAACGGACACACUGACUUAAAGAAAGCAACAGUAGUAAAACUGGAUACGAUCAAACGCUAUGCUUAAGGUUUGAGUCUUGUCAAUCACAUCUUUCUCCUAAUGAUGUGAUCCUUUUAUCAAAUGACUACUCAUGUCUAUGGCUAGGAAACCUUAGCCAUAUCUGAUCAACGAGCUAGUCCAGUAGAGGCUCAGUAGGGACACAGUGUUGUCUAUGUAUCCACACAUGUACUUGAGUUUCAAAUCAAUACAAUUAUAGCAUGGAUAAUAAAUUAUUAUCAUGAACAAAGAAAUACUAUAAUAAAUAAUUUAUUAUUUCCUCUAGGGCAUGUCUGAAAGAGUCUCCCACUUUCACUAGAGUCAAUAAUCUAUCUCACAUCACCAAGUGAUUAACACGCAAUGAGUCCUCGGUUUGAUCGUGUUUUGCUUGUGAGAGCGAUUUUAGUCAACGGGUCUGCAACAUUCAGAUCCGUGUGUAAUUUACAAAUAUCUAUGUCCUAAUGUAGAUGCUGCUACCACGCUCCAUUUGGAACUAUUACAAAUGACUGGUCCACGAUACGAAUCCGGUUUCCUACUUAGAGUCAUCCGGAUUGGUGACAAAGCUUGCAUCAACGUAACACUUUACGACGAACUCUUUUAUCAACUCUAUAAUCGAGAAACAUCUCCUUAGUCCUCUAGUUACUAGGGAUAAUUUUGACCGUUGUCCAGUGAUCCACUCCUGGAGCACUAUUGUACCCCUUGGCACACAAAUGGCAAGGCACACACCACGUGUAGUACACAACAUGGCAUACUAUAGAGCCUACGACUAAGGCAUAGGGGACGACCUUCGUCCUUUCUCUUUCUCCUGCCGUUGUUGAGUUUUGAGUCUUACUCAAAUUCACACCUUACAAUAUAGGCAAGAACUCCUUUGACUGAUCCAUUUUCAACUCCUUCAAAAUCUUUUCAAGGUAUGUAUUCAUAGAAAGUUUUAUCAACCGUCUUGAUCUAUCUCUAUAGAUCUUGAUUCCCAAUGUUUAAAUAGCUUAAUCCAGGUUUUCCUUUGAAAAAAUCCUUUCAAAGAACCCUAUAUGAUUUUCAAAAAUUGUACAUAAUUUCCUAUCAACAAUAUGUCAACCACAUAUACUUAUCGGAAAUUCUAUAGUGCUCCCACUUAGUUUCCUGUAAAUACAAGUUUCUUCAGAAGCUUUGUAUAAACCAAAAGCGUUGAUCACUCAUCAAAGCGCUUAUUCCAACUCCAAGAUGUUUGCACCGGUCCAUAAAUGGAUCGCUGGAGCUCGCAUGCCUUUUAGCAUCCUUAGAAUCGACAAAACCUUCUGGUUGUAUCACAUACAACCUUUCUCAAGGAAACCAUUCAGGAAACGAUGUUUUGACAUCCAUCUGCUAGAUUUCAUAAUUUAAAAAUGUAGCAAGUGUUAACAUAAUUCCAACAGGCUUUAGAAUUUCUAUGGGUGAGAAAGUCUCAUCGUAGUCAAGUCCUUGAACUUGUGGGAAACCUCUUUGCGAUUGGUCGAGCUUUCUAAAUGGAGACAUUUACCAUCAUCGUAUGUCGUCCUUUUAUAGAUCCAUUAGUACAUAGUAACCUUACGACCAUCAAGUAGUUCUUCCAAAGUGCACACUUUGUUUUCAUACAUGGAUCCUAUCUCGGAUUUCAAGGCCUCCAGCCAUUUGUCAGAACUGAUCCCACCAUCGCUUCUUCAUAGCUCGUAGGUUCAUUGUUGUCCAACAACAUGACCUCUAACACAGGAUUAUUGUACCACUCUCUAGUAGUACGUGUCCUUGUCAACCUAUAAGGUUUGGUCGUAUCUUGAUCUGAAGCUUGCAUGCCNNNNNNNNNNNNNNNNNNNNNNNNNNNNNNNNNNNNNNNNNNNNNNNNNNNNNNNNNNNNNNNNNNNNNNNNNNNNNNNNNNNNNNNNNNNNNNNNNNNNAUCAUCAUCUUCCCCUUCAAUUGGUGUAGGCGCCACAGGAACAACUUCCUGUGCCCUGCUACACACUGGUUGAAGUGACGGUUCAAUAGCCUCAUCAAGUUUCCACCAACCUCCUACUAAAUUCUUUCGACAAAAACUUUUUCUCGAGAAAGGACCCGUUUCUGGAAACAAACACUUUGCUUUCGGAUCUGAGAUAGGAGGUAUCCCCAACUGUUUUGGGUAUCCUAUGAAGAUGCACUUAUCCGCUUUGGGUUCGAGCUUAUCAAACUGAAACUUUUUCACAUAAGCGUCACAGCCCCAAACUUUUAAGAAAUGACAGCUUAGGUUUCUCCAAACCAUAGUUCAUAUGGUGUCAUCUCAACGGAAUUACAUGGUGCCCUAUUUAAAGUGAAUGCGGUUGUCUCUAAUGCGUAACCCAAAAACUAUAGUGGUAAUUCGAUAAGAGACAUCAUAGUAUGCACCAUAGCCAAUAGGGCACGGCUAUGACGUUCGUACACAGCAUCACACCAUGGUGUUCCAGGUGGCAUUCAUUGUGAAACAAUUUCCACAUUGUCUUAAAUGUGCACCAAACUCGCAAUUCAGACAUUCAUCUCUACGAUCAUAUCGUAGACAUUUUAUCCUCUUGUCACGAUUAUCUUCAACUUCACUCUGAAGUUACUUGAACCUUUCAAUAAUUCAGACUUGUGUUUCAUCAAGUAAAUAUACCAAUAUCUACUCAAAUCAUCUAUGAAGUAAGAACAUAACGAUAUCGACCGCGUGCCUCUGCACUCUUUGGACUGCACACAUCAAAAUGUAUUACUUUCAACAAGUUACUUUCUUGUUCCAUCUCACUGGAAAACGAGGCCUUCAGUCAUCUUGCCCAUGUGGCAUGAUUUGCAUGUCUCAAGUGAUUCAAAGUCAAGUGAGUCCAAACGAUCCAUCUGCAUGGAGUUCCUUCAUGCGUUUACACCAAUAGACAUGGUCCGCAUGUCUCAAACAUUUCAAAAAUGAGUGAGUCCAUAGAUCCAUCAGUAUGGAGCUUCUUUAUGCGUUUUAUACCAAUAUGACUCAAGCAGCAGUGCCACAAAUAAGUGGAACUAUCAUUACUAUUUUGUAUCUUUUGGCAUCAAAUAUUAUGAACAUGUGUGAUACUACAAUCAAAAUUCAAUAGACCAUUCAUAUUAGGUGCGUGACCAUUGAAGGUAUUAUUCAAGUAAACAGAAUAUCAAUUAUUCUCUCUAAAUGAAUAACCGUAUUGCAAUAAACACAAUCCAAUCAUGUUCAUGCCCAACGCAAACACCAAACAUCACUUAGGUUCAACACUAGUCUCGAAAGUAGAAGGAGCGUGCGAUGAUGAUCACAUCAACUUUGGAAACACUUCCAACACACAUCGUCACCUCGCCUUUAUCUAGUCUCUGUUUAUUCCGUACCUUUUAUUUGGAGUUACUAACACUUAGCAACCGAACCAAUAUCUAAUACCCGGGUGAUACUAGGAGUACUAGUAAGGUACACAUCAAUAUCAUGUAUACCCAAUAUACUUUCGGCGACUUUGCCAGCAUUGUCAUCUACCAAGCAUCAAGGGUAGUGCUCCUUCAGUGACUGUUCCCCUCAUAUUAGAAGCACUUUGUCUCGAGUUCGGUCUCAACCUUGGGUUUCUUCACUAGAGCGGCAACUGGUUCUCCAUUCUUGAAGUAUCCCUUCUUUCCCUUGCCCUUUAGGAAACUAGUGGUUUCACUAACCAUCAACAAUUGAUGCUCCUACUUGAUUUGUACUUUCACGGUGUCAAACAUCGCGAAUAACUCACGGAUCAUCAUCUCUAUCGCUGAUAUGUUAUAGUUCAUCACGAAGCUCUGUAGCUUGGUAGCAGUGAGUUUGGAGAACUAUGUCAAUCACUAUUUUAUCUGGAAGAUCAACUCCCACUCGAUUCAAGCGAUUGUAGUACUCAAACAAGCCGAGCACAUGCUCAACGAUUGAGCUUUUCUCCCUUACUUCGUAGAGACAAAAUCUUGUCGGACGUCUUAUACCUCUCAACACGGGCACGAGCCUGAAUCCCGAUUUCAUCUCUUGGAACAUCUCAUAUGUCCCGUGACGUUCGAAACGUCUUCGACGCCUCAAUUCAAAGCCAUUUAAGCAUUAUGCACUAAACUAUCAUGUAGUCAUAAAAAAUUUGUAUGUUCGAUGUUUGCAACAUCUACAAACGACGUUCGGGGUUUAGCACACCGAGCGGUGCAUUAAGGAUAUAAGCCUUCUGUGCAGCAAUGGUCCGCAUAAUUGCUACUAUCAUCUUUCAACUAAUUUUUUUCUAGGAAUAUAUAAAAAACAAUAGAGCUACAAAGCAAGGUACAACAUAAUUUCCAAAGACCUUUUGACCAUGUUCAUGAUAAUGAGUUCAAUUAAUCAUAGUACUUAAGAACUCCCAUUCAUAUUGACAUCCUUCUAGUCAUUCGAGUGUCGCACAAUCCAAAUUCACUAACUCAAGUUCGAUCAUCACGUGAUUUGAGUUUAGCUUCAAUGGUGAACAUCUCCAUGUUCAUCAUAUCCACUAUAUGAAUCAUACUCGACCUUUCGGUCUCUUGUGUUCUGAGGUCAUGUCUCUACAUGCUAGGCGUGUCAAGUUUAACCCGAGUGUUCCGCGUGUGCAACGGUUUUGCACCCGUUGUAUGUGAACGUAGAGUCUAUCACACCCGAUCAUCACGCGGUGUCUCGAAACGACGAACUGUCGCAACGGUGCACAGUCGGGGAGAACACAAUUUUAUCUUGAAAUUUUAGUGAGGGAUCACCUUAUAAUGCUACAGUCGUCCCAAGCAAAACAAGGUGUAUAAAAGGAUUAACAUCACAUGCAAAUUAUAAGUGACAUGAUAUGGCCAUGAACUUGUGCUUCUUGAUCUCCAUCACCAAAGCACCGACAUGAUUACAUCGUCACCAACGCCACAAUAUGAUCUCCAUCAUCAUGAUCUCCAUGAUUGUGCUGCCAUCGAGGUUGUCGCGCUAACUAUGUUGUUACUACUAAAGCUACUACUAGCGACAAAGCAAAGCAUCUCCAAGCCCAAAAUAAUUACAGACAACCGUAUGGCUCCUGCCGGUUGCCGUAGCAUCGACGUGCAAGUCGAUAUUUAACUAUUAGAACCUGAUCAUCUGAUACGUCCAAUAUAUCAUAUCAUGUCUUUGGCCAUAUCACAUCACAUGCAUACUAUACAAAAACAAGUUAGACGUCCUCUAAUUUUAUUGGUGCAUGUUUUACGUGGCUGCUAUGGGUAUCUAGUAUGAUCGCAUCUUACUUACGCAAAACCACAACGAUGAUAUGCAAGUUUCUAUUUAACCUUCUCUAAGGACCGCCUCGGUCAAAUCCGAUUGAACUAAAGUUGAAGAAACUAACACCCGCCAGUCAUCUUUAUGCAACAAGUUGCAUGUUAGUCGAUGAAACCGGUCUCUAGUAAGCGUACGAGUAAUGUUGGUCCGGGCCAUUUCAAUCCAACAAUACCGCCGAAUCAAUAAAAGAGUAAGGAGGAAAGAAAAUAGGACAUCAACACCCACAAACUCUUUUGUAUUCUACUUGAGAUGUCAUCUAUGCAUAGACCUAGCUCAUGACGCCACUGUUGGGGAACAUUGCAUGGGAAACAAAAAAAAUCCUACGCGCAUGCAAUACCUAUCCAUGGUGAUGAUCAUCUAUGAGAGGGGAGAGUGAAUCUACAUACCCUUGUAGAUUGCUAAGCGGAAGCAUAUAUAACGCGGUUGAUGUAGUGGAACAUCUUCGCGGUCCAAAUCGCAGCCUGUCCCGCGAUCUCAUCACGAUCCGUCCCACGAUCCCAUCACAACCGGUCCCGGUCUAGUGCCGAAUGGACGACACCUCCGCGUUCAUCACACGUACAUCUCGAUGACGAUCACCGCCUUCUUGAUCCAGCAAGAGGGGCGGAGAGGUAGCUGAAUUCUCCCGCAACACGACGGCAUGGUGGUGAUGUUGGUGGAGCUACUCCGGCAGGGCUUCGUCGUGCCGUAUCAAACUAGCUACGGGGUGUCACGAAGUGGUGGAGGGAGAGAGGGCUGCACUAUGGCUUGGGGUCCAAAAAGCCUCUCAAACCUCCACUAUAUAUAGGUGUAACAAGAGGGACGGUUUCCUUGCCUCCUACUCAAAGUAGGAGGGUUUGGCCAAACCAAGAGGGAGGAGUCCUCCUCCAAUUCGGUUUGGUGGAGGACUCCUUCCUCACUUGUCCGCCUCCUUCCUUUUUUUCCUUUUUGCUUUUUAUUUUGUUUUGGCCGAAAUAGGUUAUUGGGCAGCCUUCACCAUCCCACUAAGGGCUGCUGCACCACCCAUAGGCCUAUUAGGUCCUCUCCCGGGUGAGUGGCCCCUCCCACUAAAACCCGGGAACCCAUUCGUCCCUACGAGUACUUUACCGGUAAUGCCCGAAAUCUUUCCGAAAGCCAAAUGCAACAUUCCUGUAUAUCAAUCUUCAUUUUCGGACCAUUACGAAAACUCUCACGACGUCCAGGAUCUCAUCCGGGACUCCUAACAACCUUCGGUUACCAAGAUCAAUAAUUCAACUAUACCGAAACGUCAUCGAACCUUAAGGGUGCAGACCCCGCGGGUUCAAUAACCUGAGACACUCUGCGGUAAAUAACCAAUAGCGGGACCUGGAUGCCCAUAUUGGCUCCUACAUAUUCUACGAAGAUCUUUAUUGGUUGAACCACUAUGUCAAGGAUUGACUUAAUCCCGUAUGUUGUUCCCUUUGUCCUUUGGUAUGUUACUUGCUCGAGAUUCGAUCGUCGGUAUCUCCAUACCUAGUUCAAUCUCGUUACCGGCAAUUCUCUUUACUCGUUCCGUAAUACAAGAUCCCAUGACUAACUCCUUAGUCACAUUUCUUGCAAGGCUUGUUGUGAUGUUGUAUUACCGAGUGGGCCCCGAGAUACCUCUCCGUCAUACGGAGUGACAAAUCCCAGUCUUGAUCCAUGCCAACCCAACAUACACCUUCGGAGAUACCUGUAGAGCACCUUUAUAGUCACCCAGUUACGUUGCGAUGUUUGAUACACACAAGAUAUUCCUCCGGUGUCCGGGAGUUGCAUGAUCUCAUGGCCAUAGGAACAGAUACAUAGGCAUGCAGAAAACAGUAGCAAUAAACUGACACAAUCAUAUGCUACGUUCAUAGUUUGGGUCUUGUCCAUCACAUCAUUCUCCUAAUGAUGUGAUCCUGUUAUCAAGUGACAAAACUUAUCUAUGUCUAGGAAACGCUUACCAUCUUUGAUCAACGAGCUAGUCAACUAUAGGCUCACUAGGGACAGUGUGUUGUCUAUGUAUCCACACAUGUAUUUGAGUUUCCAAUCAAUACAAUUCUAGCAUGGAUAAUAAGCGAUUAUCAUGAACAAGGAAAUAUAAUAAUGACCAAUUUAUUAUUGCCUCUAGGGCAUAUUUUCAACACUAACAUGGUAUUAGAGCCUAGAUUUUUUAGCAUGCGCAACUCGUGCUUGAUCCUCUUCUCAUACCCGCCGCCACCGUUUUUCCUCUAGUCUAGCUGCUGCUGUUGGAAAUAUGCCCUAGAGGCAAUGAUAAAUAGUGAUUAUUAUAUUUACUGUUUAAAGAUAAUCGUUUAUUAUCCAUGCUAUAAUUUUAUUGAAUGAAAACAUAAAUACAUGUGUGGAUAAAUAGACACAACAAUGUCCCUAGCAAGCCUCUAGUUGGCUAGCCAGUUGAUCAAAGAUAGUCAAGGUUUUCUAACUAUGUGCAAAGUGUUGUUGCUUGAUAACUGGAUCACAUCAUUAAGGGAAUCAUGUGAUGGACUAGACCCAAACUAUAAACGUAGUAUAUUGAUCGUGUCAUUUUAUUGCUAUUAUUUUCCGCGUGUCAAGUAUUUGUUCCUAUGACCAUGAGAUCAUAUAACCCACUGGCACUAGAGGGAUGCCUUGUGUGUAUCAAACGUCACAAUGUAACUGGGUGACUAUAAAGGUGCUCUACAGGUAUCUCCGAAGGUGUCCGUUGGGUUAGUAUGGAUCAAGACUGGUAUUUGUCACUCCGUGUGACGGAGAGGUAUCUCGGGGCCCACUCGGUAAUACAACAUCACACACAAGCCUUGCAAGCAAUGUGACUAAGUGUAAGCCACGGGAUCUUGUAUUACGGAACGACAAAAGAGACUUGCUGGUAACGAGAUUGAAAUAGGUAUGCGGAUACCGACGAUCGAAUCUCGGGCAAGUAACAUACCGAAGGACAAAGGGAAUGACAUACAGGAUUACCUGAAUCCUUGACACUGAGGUUCAACUGAUAAGUUAUUUGGAGAAUAUGUAGGAUCCAAUAUGGGCAUCCAGGUCCCGCUAUUGGAUAUUGACCGAGGAGUACCUCGGGGCAUGUCUGCAUAGUUCUCGAACCCACAGGGUGUGCACACUUAAGGUUCGGCGAUGUUUUAGUAUAGUUGAGUUAUAUGUGUGGUUACCGAAUGUUGUUCGUAGUCCCGGAUGAGAUCACGUACAUCACGAGGGUUUCCGGAAUGGUCCGGAGACGAAGAUUGAUAUAUAGGAUGACCUCAUUUGGUUAUCAGAAAGUUUUCGGGCAUUACCGGGAAUGUACCGAGAGUGACGAAUGGGUUCCGGAUGUUCACCGGGAGGGGGCCAACCCACUCGGGGAAGCCCAUAGGCCUUAGGGGUGCCGCACCAGCCCUUAGUGGGCUGGUGGAACAGCCCAAGAGGCCCUAUGCGCAGGAGAUAAGAAAUCAAAGGAGGGGGGGGGGAAAAAAAAGAGGUGGGAAGGAAGGGAAGGACUCCACCUUCCAAUCCUAGUUGGACUAGGAUUGGAGGUGGACUCCUCCACCUCCUUGGCCGGCGGACCCUUGGGGUCUUUGAACCCAAGGCAAGCCUCCCCACCCCUCCUCCUAUAUAUAGUGAAGGUCUAGGGAUGAUUUGAGACAACUUUGCCACGGCAGCCCGACCACAAAACAUCACGGUUUUUCCUCUAGAUCGUAUUUCUGCGGAGCUCGGGCGAGCCCUGCAGGAGUAGAUCCUUCACCACCACCGGAGUGUCGUCACGCUGCCGGAGAACUCAUCUACUUCUCCGUCUUGCUUGCUGGAUCAAGAAGGCCGAGAUCAUCGUCGAGCUGUACGUGUGCUGAACGCGGAGGUGCCGUCCGUUCGGCACUAGAUCGGAGCGGAUCGUGGGGCGGAUCGCGGGACGGUUCGUGGGACGGUUCGCGGGGCGAAUUGAGGGACGUGAGGACGUUCCACUACAUCAACCGCGUUUCUUAAUGCUUCCUGCUGUGAGAUCUACAAGGGUACGUAGAUCCAAAUCUCCUCUCGUAGAUGGACAUCACCUUGAUAGGUCUUCGUGUGCGUAGGAAAUUUUUUGUUUCCCAUGCGAUGUUCCCCAACAGCUGCUUCCUCCUCCUGGCCAAGGAUCCAGUCGGGCUGGUUGUUGCGGCCGAUCGCAUCUGCCCCGCAGUCGAUCUCGGGCCGCCUAGUCUCCCAUCCCGAUCCAACCACCGGCUACUGGGUCUCUCCCGAUUGGAUCGCCCCUGUCCUGCAGUCUUCCAAUCGAAUUCAGGCCACCCAGUCUCCCGUACCGAUCCAGCAGCCGCCGCUGGGUCUCUCCCGAUUGGAUCACCUUCGUCCUGUCGUCUUCCACUCACAGUCAACCCCACCACCAACCCCGCUCCAGAUCGCACUACGGGUUGUCCCAAUCCUGCCAACCCCGCUCUAGAUACCACUGCGGGUUGUCCCAAUCCAGUCACCAACUAAUGGAUCUCCCUGGCCAUUGCGGCUUUCCGUCGUCUCCUGGUUCUCGUGAUCUAUGCUGCCGUCGGGAGAGCUGCAUAUUCAUAAAAUAAUAUCUGCUGCAUCGGGCUAUGUUAUUGUUCCUCAUUGUCCUGUGAUUUUUGAUGGCACUAACUACAUCGAGUUCGUUGGCUUCAUGCACAUUCAUAUGCAUGGCAUCCGUCUAUCGGGUGUUCUUUCUCGCGAGGUCCAUUGUCCGCCACGUACGGUUCCUCCUAUGGCCCCCACUUCACCGACGCAACCGGUUCUUCCUGCGGAUGCUAAUCAGGCUGCGAAGGAUGCAGCUAAGCUUGUUGAUGAAGCCGAUGUUUGUGCUUAUGAUGACUAAUUUUUGACUUAUGAGGAGGCUCUUCAAGCGUAUCAUGGUUCUCUAUCUGUUUACGCCCAGUGGCUUGAUAAUGAUGCUCGUGGUGCAGCUGUUCUCACUCCUAGUGUUCUGCCUCAGUUUGCCUCUGAGUUUCUGGGCCUUCCUACUGUAUUUGAGAUGUGGACAUGUCUUCGUUAGUGCUAUGAGCCCUCUGGUGAUGCCUUAUACCUCUCUGUGGUCCGUCAGGAGCAUGCACUUCAGUAGGGUGACUCCACUGUUGAUGAUUUGUAUGCACAGAGUUCUGCUAUCUAGCGCCAGCUUGAUUCUCUCCCCAGUGCUGGUUGUCGUACUUGCCUAUGUUGCCGGGCUGUACAGGCCAAUUUGGAGUUUCAUCGUGUCUACGAGUUCUUGUCUCGGCUCCGUAAAGAGUUUGAGCCCCGGCGUGCUCAGUUGUUUGCUCGUGGCCGUAUUUCUCUCAUGGAGGCACUUUCUGAGAUUCUUGCUGAGGAGACUCACUUACGUGGUGCUGGUUCACUAGAGGUUCCCUCUGGGCUCGCUGCUCAAGCUCCUGCUACACCACAUGCUGCACCGACUCCUUCUCGCUCGAGUGCUCCGCCGCACUUGCCCACUCCUCCCGGUGGCUCGGGCCGCCCCCGUCCACAUUGCGGCUAUUGUAACUUGGAUGGUCAUGUCGAGUCUCAGUGCUUCGAGAAGAAGAAACACCUGUGCAAGGCGCGAUCAUCAUCUUCAGGGACUUCGUCUUCUACCUCGACAUCUUGAGCCACCGCUUUGACUGAGCAGGAUAUUCCGAGACUUAAGCGUCUGCUCGCCGCUUCAGGUUCUUCCUCGACGGGUAUUGUUGGUUCUAUGACUGAUGCUUCCCGUACUGAGCAACCACCUUCUACACAGUCAGGUACAUCCCCAUUGGUUCUAGACUCCGGAGCUUCUUUUCAUAUGUCUUCUCAUUCUUCCACUUUGUCCUCUCUUAGAUCGCUUGAUUUUCCUGUUCAUGUCCUCACUGUUGAUGGUACUCCUCUUUCCCUUGUUAGUAGAGGCAAUCUUACCACUCCUUAUUAUGUUCCUCGUGUUUCUCAUGUUCCUCGACUUACCAUGAAUUUGUUUUCUGCUGGUCAACUUACUCACUCUGGCUGUCGUGUCAUCCUUGACAUUGACUAUUGUUCUGUCCAGGACCGUCGCACGCACACUCUGGUUGGGGCUGGCCCUCACCAUCGUGAUUCUCAGGGUCUUUGGGAGUUAGACCGACUUCAUGUUCCUUCCACUGCCACCACUAUCGCCAGUUCCUCCACUUCAGUCGUCUCCGCUACCGAUUCCUUCCAGCAGUGGCAUCAUCGACUUGGUCAUGUUUGUGGUUCUUGUUUGUUGUUUUUAGUUCGUCGAGGUCUUCUGGGGUCUGUCUCAGGAGAUGUCUCUUUAGAAUGUUAGGGUUGUUGUCUUGGCAAACAGAUUCAGUUAGCAUAUUAAAAUAGUGAGUCAGUGUCUAAGCGUCCUUUUGAUUUAGUCCAUUCUAAUGUAUGGGGUCCGGCUCCCUUCGUUUCGAAAGGGGGUCAUCGAUACUAUAUUAUUUUCAUAGAUGAUUUCUCCUGUUACACAUGGCUUUAUUUUAUGACUUCUCGUAGUGAGGUGUUGUCUAUUUAUAAGCAUUUUUCUGCCAUGGUUCACACUCAGUUCUCUUGGCCCAUUCGUGUGUUUCGUGCUGACUCUGCUGGCGAGUAUAUUUUAAGAUGUUGCGUGGUGUUCUUGCCGAGCAAGGAACUCUUUCGCAAUUCUCUUGUCCGGGUGCUCACGCUGAAAAUGGUGUGGCUGAGCGCAAGCAUCGUCACCUUCUUGAGACUGCUCGUGCAUUAAUGAUCGCCGCCUCUCUCCCGCCUCAUUUUUCGACUGAGGUCGUCUCCACCUCCACCUAUCUCUUCAAUAUACAAUCUUCCGCUGCUCUACAAGGUGGUUUUCUUUUCAAAUGUCUUUUUGAUCGUUCUCUCGAUUAUUCGAUGCUUCGUUUGUUUGGUUGUGUUUGCUAUGUUCUUCUUGCUCCUCGAUAACACACCAAACUGACCGCUUAGUCUGUUGAGUGUGUCUUCUUAGGCUAUAGUGACGAGCAUAAGGGCUAUCGCUGUUGGGAUCCUAUCGGUCGUUGGAUGCGUAUUUCUCGGAAUGUGACUUUUGAUCAGUCUCGUCCGUUCUACCCACGCCCAUCUUCCUCGACCUUUUCAGUGGAGGAUAUCUCUUUCCUUACUUUUCCCGACACACCUAUCACCCCCAUCGAGCCUUGGUCUAUUCGUUCCGCUACCUCUCUUCUCCACCUCUUACUAAUUUGCCGCCACCAUCUCCCAUGGUUUCCUCACCUAGCAUGUCACUGGAUUCUACACCUUCCUCUCCGGUGACUUCUUCGUCUCCACACCCCGAUUCUACCUUGGCGACUCCUCCUUGUAUUCUUCCAUCUUUUCCUCAGUAUUACACUCGUUGUUCUCGUCAUUUGGAUGCCUCUACGGAUGUGUCAUCCUCCUCGUCUCAGCCUACAUAUGGCUUGCGUUCUCGUCCUUGUCCGCCUCUUGAUCGCUUUGGAUUUCCCGCCGCUCGUGAUGCUGUUCUUGAGCCGACUUCUUAUCAUGAGUCUGUUGUUCACCCUGAAUGGCAGUUUGUGAUGGCAUUGGAGAUUGCUGCUCUUGAACACACUAGUACAAGGGAUCUUGUUUCUCUUCCUCCCGGUGUCCGUCCCAUCACUUGUAAGUGGGUCUACAAGGUUAAGACUCGCUUAGAUGGUUCUCUUGAGCGUUACAAAGCUCGUCUUGUAGAUCGUGGCUUUUAGCAGGAGUAUGGUCGUGAUUACGACAAGACUUUUACUCCUAGGGCCCAUAUUGUUGGAAAUAUGCCCUAGAGGCAAUAAUAAAAUGGUUAUUAUUGUAUUUCCUAGUUCAUGAUAAUUGUCUAUUAUUCAUGCUAUAAUUGUAUUAACCGGAAACCGUAAUACAUGUGUGAAUAUAUAUAUCACAAUGUGUCCCUAGUGAGCCUUUAGUUGUCUAGCUCGUUGAUCAAUAGAUGAUCAUGGUUUCGUGAUCAUGGACAUUGGAUGUCAUUGAUGACGGGAUCACAUCAUUGGGGAAUGAUGUGAUGGACAAGACCCAAUCCUAAGCAUAGCACUAGAUCGUGUUGUUCGUCUGCUAAAGCUUUUCUAAUGUCAAGUAUCAUUUCCUUAGACCAUGAGAUUGUGCAACUCCUGGAUACCGUAGAAGUGCUUUGGGUGUAUCAAACGUCACAAUGUAACUGGGUGAUUAUAAAGGUGCACUACGGGUAUCUCCGAAAGUGUCUGUUGGGUUGUACGAAUCGAGACUGGGAUUUGUCACUUUGUGUGACGGAGAGGUAUCUCUGGGCCCACUCGGUAAUCCAUCAUAAUAUUGAACUCAGUGUGACAAAGGAGUUAGCCACGGGAUGAUGUGUUACGGAACAAGUAAAGAGACUUGCCGGCAACGAGAUUGAACAAGGUAUAGCGGUACCGACGAUCGAAUCUCGGGGAAGUAUCAUACCGGUAGACAAAGGGAAUUGCAUACGGGAUUGAUUGAAUCCCCGACAUCGUGGUUCAUCCAAUGAGAUCAUCGAGGAACAUGCGGGAACCAACAUGGAUAUCCAGACCCCACUGUUGGUUAUUGACCGGAGAGGUGUCUCGGUCAUGUAUGCAUGCUUCCUGAACCCGUAGGAUCUACGCACUUAAGGUUCGAUGACGCUAGGGUUAUAGGGGAAUAGUGUAUUUGGUUACCGAAGGUUUUUGGAGUCUCGGAUGAGAUCCCGGACGUCAUGAGGAGUUCUGGAAUGGUUCAGAGGUAAAGACUGAUAUAUAGGAAGUGAGGAUUUGGACGCCGGAAGUGUUUCGGGCGGCGUCACCGGUAAUGUACCGGGACCGCCGGAAGGGUUCCGGGGGUCCACCGGCAAGGGCCACCAGCCCCCAGUUGCUACAUGGGCUAAGAGUGGGUGGGAACCAGCCCAUAUGUGGGCUGGUGCGCCUCCACAAGAAGCCUAAGGCGCAACAAGGGUGGAGAGGAGUAAAACCCUAGGCGUGGGGAGGCCACCUUGGGCCUCAAGGCUCACCCUAGGGCGCCACCUCAUUGGCCGCCACCCCAAACCCAUCAAGGGCUGCCACACCCUUUAGGGUGGGAAACCCUAAAGGUGGGCAACCUCCUCCCUCUCCUCCUAUAUAUAGUGAGGGUUUUGAGGCUGAUUUGAGAUAACUUCUCUCUCUCUCUCUCGGCGCAGCCCUACACCUCCUCCUCCUCGUCCUCCGUAGUGCUUGGCGAAGACUUGUCGGAGUUACCACGCAGCUCCACCGUCACCAUGCCGUCGUGCUGCCGGAGCUCUCCCUCAACCUCUCCUCCCUCCUUGCUGGAUCAAGGCGUUGGAGACGGCACCGGGCUGCACGUGUGUUGAUUGCGGAGGCACCGACGUUCGCUGCAUAGAUCGGAAUCCACCGUGAUCUGAAUCGUUGCGAGUACGACUCCAUCAACCGCGUGUCACAUCCCUGGAACCCUAAUCAAGUAUAGAAUUGUGAUCAUAUCUUCUUUGCAUUGCAUCCAAGAAAAUUGCAACAAGAUCAAAGCAAGUGGUGAAGCAAAACUCAAAAACCCUAGCCACUUCUCAAAUUCAAAGAAAUUCUAAAUUUGUUCAAAUAAAUGAACCCAAAAUGGCCUCAAGAAAAGUUCAACUUUUCUGAUAAUUCAUGAAAGCAAAUAAGCAGUGAAGAAAACUAUUUUCAUAACACCUUUGGCAUUUUAUUUAAAUGCAAAAAGCUACUAGAUUCAAGUUGAAAAUUUGAAUUCAAAAACUUUAAGUUUUCAAAAAUGUUGAAAACUUCAGGAAUGGUUGGAUAUAUUCCAACAAAUAUUCUCGUGUGUUCAAAAUAUUUUUUGUAAACUAUUUUGGAGAUGAAAUAAAUAGCAAAUCAAAUAGUUAGCAAAACAGAAACAAAAUAGAAGAAAAUGGAAAGAAGCUUACGUGUCGACCUGAGGAGGCCCAGCCCACCAGGGGCAGGGGCGUCUUCUUCCUCCUGCCUUACUGGCAGAGGAGCGAACGCCCACGACGCCUCCUCCACCUUCUGCUUCGCCGUGGCACUCUCCGGUGCUCCCCAGGACAGCGCGACGGCAGGGAUAACCUCCCCGAGCUCUGGCCUAUCCAUUCCCGCGCUCCAUUUGCCCCCUCUCCUCUCGGUUUCUUCCUCCCCCACUGCCACCAUUGACAAGAGCUCGAGCUCGAGCUGCCCGUGCCUCAGGCCACUAGUUCUUUCCCCCGAGUGCCCAUUCGCUCCGCCUUGACGAGCUGGUCCUUCCUGCAAAAGCCGAAGGUCCCCCUGGCACUGCAACGCCCAUGGCACCGUCGUCUUCAAGCUUCGGCCGCCGGCGAGCUUCGAUCGAUUCGUCGCCUACAGCGCCUCCCCGAGCAAGCUAGCGCCACCACUGCACUCCCCGUGAGCUUGCACAGCUUUCCCCCAAGUUUUCCCCGUCGAUCUCUUCCUCUAGGCCUAGUUCCAUUGGAGCCCGACGAGGACCGCCGCUGCAGCUCGUCGCUGGUAGCCCUUCGGUGAAGGGUUGGUCCAUCUGAGGCCACCGGCAGCUUCAGGCCGUCGCGUAGAUGCUUUAGGAGCCCAGCCCCGCGCGAUUUGACCCUGUUUCCGAUGACCUCAACAAUGGCCGAGCUUUGGUCGCCGCCGAGCUCGUCACCGGCGUCGAUUCCGGCCAACCCAGCCCCUGGGGUUUGCCCCCAUCGUGCGCGCCGUCGAGUGGCCGAUCUCCCUGUGGUCUCCGCCGUGCGUUUGGUCGUCAGAGACGAGUUUCCAAUGCCCUCCGUCGUCUCUGGUGUCGCCGGAGGCUCACCGCCGGCGAGGACGACCUCGCCGCCGGUGGAUCUCAGCUGGCCUGAGCCACUGACGCGUGGGGCCAGCCUCCGGAUGUUUUGGAUUAAUAAAAAUAAAGUUAAUUAAUCUAAUAAGUCACUGACAUGUGGGUCGAGUACUGUUAAUUAGCUAAUUAAGUUUAAAACUAAUCUAAAGCUGACCAGAGUCACUGACAAGUGGGUCCCACUUGUCAGGUUUGACUUUCAACGGCCAGUUGGACCUGCUGAUGCCAUGCUGACGCAAUAAGUGGAUUUCUGAUUUAAAAGAAUUCCAGAAAAAUACCAAAACUUCUAAAAAUCAUAGGAACUAAUCUGUAACUCUAGUGAAAAUAAUUUAUAUAUGAAUAAGUAUCAGAAAAAUCCAAGGAAUCUGAAUAUGUCAUUUUCAAACAUGUUUGAAAAUGUUACUCGUCCAAACAUGUAGAAUAGUGAAUAAGUUAAAUUUUAUAAAUGCUAUGGAGAUGGAAUUUGAAAAUCAUUUGAAUUCCACUUCAAAUACUAUGACCAAACAUUGUUCAAUCACAACCAGCAACUUAACAUAUCAUUUCCAUGCAUGUUAAAAACAAGUUGAUCUAAGCAUCAGGUCGAAUCAAUUAAAAUGGUAUUCGAGAAUACCUCGUUUGAAGUGACAUUUGAAUAUGAUUCAAAUCAACUUCAAACCUAAUAAAUGUUAGCUAUAUUAGCAUACCACCUUGCAUCCUCAUGCCAUGCUCAUGCAUCAUCUUGUUGCAUAUGAUUGUUAUUGAUUGUUUUCAUUUCUUUCGGUAGGCUCCGCUCCUCCGGAUUCCACUGAAUAUCCGACUGACGGAUAUUGUCCCUCCUCUGAGCAACAAGGCAAGCAACCAUUUUGAUCAUCCCGAUAAAUCCCAUGUUCUCGCUCCUGCACUUACUUAUUGCAUUAGGAUCAAAUGCUUCAAAUGCUUUUGCCACGUUAGUUGAACCCACUUCCUUUGCAUGACCUGUCUUUGUCACAGUAAAUAGCUGAACCUUGCAACCUAGCAUACCUGGUAGAUGCUUGAGCCAUGAAGUGCCUUAUCCUGCUAUGCAUGCUAUGCUUAGAGUUGUGUAUGGCCUGUCAUCUGGGAGAUGAACAGAAUUGUGAGAAUGUGUUCAGUAAGUAAAGAUUGUGUGUUCAACCUGAUUUGGUAAAGGUACCGGUGAAAGGCUAUGUAGGAGUACAUGGUGUGUUGUUUCAUUGGAACCAUCCUUAGGAACUGAGUUCCAUGUAUGUAAUCCAAGACGAGAUACUACCACAUGCUGGGCCCUGAAAUAUAACCCCGCUCGACUUAUUAAUCGCUUAGUACUCGGUCGAGGAGUUGCAAGUAGUUUCUGGUGUUUAUAGUCAUGCUGGAGGCCGUGCAUAGUGCUGACCUGAGAGGUGGGCUGUGAUGCGGUAGGCAGUGGCACGGUGUACCAAGUGGCACCCGGAUGGUGGGCUUGGGAACCCUGCGCACAUCGUUUGGGGCCGUGGCAGAAACCUCGGCCGGACUUCCGUGCGGGUUACCCUCACAUAGGCGAUAGACCUGGACUAAGUAUUUGCGUGGUUAACGGUCGUGGCCGACUCCCUCGUUGGGCUUCUGCUUGAAGGUUGCCGAGGUGCAUGACAUGCACAUGGCGAUAAGUGGCGAGAGCGUGUGUGAAGAAGUACACCCCUGCAGGGUUAUGAUCUAUUCGAAUAGCCGCGUCCGCGGAUAUGGACUACUUGGAGACAUAUGUUGUUCAUAGAUAACUUUAAUGGCUACUCAUAAAAUUGUCAAGAUAAGCGUGAGUGUCGUGGACGGCAUUCCCGUAUGGAGACGGAAUGAUUCCACGAUGGAGUAUUGUUGUGGUGUUAGUGGACUCGUGUGCGAGAAAUCAAGUUGUAAAAAUUAUUUAAAAAUGCAAGUUGUCUAGCCACGAGUCAAAUGCUGGCUUUCCGCAUGAAACCCCACAAUUCCUUAUUGAUACAUUGCAUGAGUAGAUAGUUAUCCUAAAGUCUUGUUGAGUACCUCCGUACUCAUGUUUGCUUAAUAUUUGUUGCAGAGGUUGUUAAUGACCCUAAUGGAGGGUUCUUCCUCGACAUCGACGACGACGAGUAGCUGGUAUCCCAGCUACGAUCUGGCCCUAUGGUUGGUCUGUAGUAUAGUCAGGCCACGUGCCUUCUAGUCUCAUGUGUCUGUACUCAGACAGUUUAUUUACUUCCGCUGGCUUGUAACUUGAAUGACUGUUAUGAUGGGUCGUGAGACCGCUACUGUGUAAUAUUAUGUGUGUGGCUCUUCCGAGCCUUUUAAAUAAAGCUUGUAUGUUUAUGGUUAUGUUGUGAUGCCAUCGAUGUAUCUAUACAUAUCGGUAUGCCAUGCGUACGUGUGUCGUACUUUAUAUGUAUGGGGUUCGAUUACCUAGCCGUAGACUUUAGUAGCAUUCCUUACAGGGAAAUGCCCCUUUCUGGUCCAACGAGCCAUGGUAGCUCGCUACUGCUCCGGACACUUUGGUUGAACAGCGUGUGCCCUUCUUAGCUGUUGUGUCUGUCCCCUUUGGGGAAAUGUCACGCGAUGUAAUGGAGUCCUUGUAGCUUGCUACGACUCGUCUACAUUCGCUGGUGACUGACACCUGCCUUGCUGGGUCAUGUAUGUCUGUGCCUGUGCGGAACUGCCACUUUGGUUUAUGACUAGACAUAUCGAUCCGAGUUCUUUGUCAUUGGAUUGCUAGCGACACAAUUGCAUACGCGAGUCAAAAGGCGCAAACGGUCCCGGCUAAGGUAAGGCUGCAGCCGUGGGGUUAACCGUGCGUGAGACCGCAAAGAGAUGCGAUGUGUUACAGGUUGGAUUCCUAUGGCUUAGGAUCGGGGUCCCGACACCGCGUUCAUAGUAACGCUUCCACUUAGCGAUCUUAAAAUGUAUGAAGAUGUUCUACUCCUUUGCUCGUUGCUGGUUUCUCCAUAGAUAGAUCCUUGCAUGGCGUAGGAGUUUUUUUGAAAUUACUACGUUCCCCAACAGUGGCAUCCGAGCCAAGGUUCUACGCGUAGAUUCUAUGCACGAGUAGAACACAAAAGUUGUGGGCGCUGAUUUUGUCAAUUGCUUGUCGUUACUAGUCUUAUCUUGAUUCGGCGACAUCGUGGGAUUAAGCGGCCCGGACCAACUUUACAAAUACUUUUACGUGAUACUGGUUCCACCAACUGGCAUGCACUAGUUGCAUAAGGUGGCUAGCGGGUGUAUGUCUCUCCCACUUUAGUCGAAUCGGAUUCGAUGAAGAGGGUCCUUAUGAAGGGUAAAUAGCAUUGGCAUAUCAACAUUGUGGCUGUCACAUAGGUAAGAAGCAUUCUUGCUAGAAACCCUAACCAACCACGUAAAACUGGCAACAACAAUUAGAGGACGUCUAACUUGUUUUUGCAGGGUAUGCUAUGUGAUGUGAUAUGGCCAAAAGGAUGUGAUGUUACAUAUGUGAUGUAUGCGAUUGAUCAUGCUCUUGUAACUCACGACUUGCAUGUCGAUGAGUAUGACAACCGGCAGGAGCCAUAGGAGUUGUCUUGAUUUAUUGUAUGAGAUGCAACGACAUGUUGAUUACUUUACUUUAUCUCUAACGGUUAGUUAUAGUAGUAGAAGUAAUAGUUGGCCCGACGACUUCACGGAGACACAAUUAUGGAGAUCAUGAUGAUUGAGAUCAUGGUGUCAUGCUGGUGACGAUGAUGAUCAUGGUGCCCCGAAGAUGGUGAUCAAAGGAGCAAGAUGAUAUUGUCCAUAUCAUGUCACUAUAUGAUUGCAUGUGAUGUUUAUCAUGUUUUUCAUCUUAUUGCUUAGAACGACGGUAGCAAAGAUAAGAUGAUCCCUCAUUAAAAUUUCGAGAUAUGUAUUCCCCUAAGUGUGCACUGUUGCGAAGGAUCGUUGUCUCGAAGCACCACGUGAUGAUCGGGUGUGAUAGAUUCUAACGUUCGCAUACAAUGGGUGUAAGCCAGUUUACACACGCAAAACACUUAGGUUGACUCAACGAGCCUAACAUGUACAGAUAUGGCCUCGAAUACGGGAGACCAAAAGGUCAGACAUGAGUCGUAUGGUUGAUACGAUCAGCAUGGAGAUGCUCACCAUUGAUGACUAGUAUGUCUCACGUGAUGAUCAAUAAUGGGCUAGUCGACGUCGAUCAUGUAACACUUGGAUGACUAGAGGGAUGUCGAUCUAAGUGGGAGUUCAUUAGUAAUUUGAUUAGAUGAACUUAAUUAUCAUGAACUUAGUCUAAAAGUGUCUUUACAAAUAUUGUAGAUCCAAUGGCCAACGCAAAUGUCCCAUUCAACUUCAACCGUUCCUAGAGAAAACCAAGCUGAAGACGACGGGAGCAACUAUGCGGACUGGGCUCGUAACUUAAAGCUCAUCCUCAUGGCUUCCAAGGAGGCAUAUGUCCUUAUUGCACCGCUAGGUGAUCCUCCCGUUCCCGCGGUGACCCAGGACGUUAGGAACGCCUGGCAGUCGCGGAGUGAUGAUUACUCUCUAGUACAGUGCGACAUGCUUUACAGUUUAGAACCGGGGCUCCAAAGGCGUUUUGAGCAACACGGAGCAUAUGAGAUGUUCGAGGAGCUGAAACUUGUUUUUCAAGCUCAUGCCCAGGUCAAGAGAUAUGAAGUCUCUAACAAGUUCUUUAGCUGUAAGAUGGAGGAGAAUAGUUCUGUCAGUGAACACAUACUCAGAAUGUCUGGGUUGCACAACCGCUUGACUCAGCUGGGAGUUGAAUUUCCGGAUGAUGCGGUCAUUGACAGAAUCCUCGAGUCACUUCCACCUAGCUAUAAAGGCUUAGUGAUGAAUUACAACAUGCAAGGGAUGGAAAAGACUAUUCCUGAGUUGUAUUCAACGCUGAAAUCUGCGGAGGUAGAAAUCAAGAAAGAGCAUCAAGUGUUGAUGGUCAAUAAGACCACCAGUUUCAAGAAUGGCAAAGAUAAUAAAAGCUUCAAGAAAUACGACAAAGCAGUUGCCGCGCCCGGUAAGCCAGUUGCCGGGAAGAAGUCAAAGAAAGGACCCAAGCCUGAGACUGAGUGCUAUUACUGCAAGGGAACCGGUCACUGGAAGCGGAAUUGCCCCAAGUACUUAACGGACAAGAAGGUCGGCAACGUCAAAGGUAUAUGUGCUAUACUUCUUUUUGAUGUGUACCUUACCAGUGUGCGUAGUAGCUCCUGGUAUUUGAUAUCGGCACUGUUGCUCACAUUUGGAACUCUAAGCAGGAACUGCGGAACAAGCGUAGGCUGGCUAAGGACAAGGUGACGAUGCGCGUCGGGAAUGGUUCCAAGGUCAAUGUGAUCACCGUCGGCACGCUACCUCUACAUCUACCUUCGGGAUUAGUUAUAAACCCUAAUAAUUGUUAUUUAGUACCGGUUUUAAGCAUGAAAAUUGUAUCGGGAUCUCGCUUGAUGCAAGAUGGCUACUCAUUUAAAUCUGAGAAUAAUGGUUGUUCUAUUUAUAUGAGCGGUAUGUUUUAUGGUCAAGCCCCGCUGGUAAAUGGUUUAUUCAUGAUGAAUCUCGAUCGUGAUGAUACACAUAUUCAUAGUGUGAGUACCAAAAUAUGUAAGGUUGAUAAUGAUAGUCCCACAUACUUGUGGCACUGCCGCCUUGGUCAUAUCGGCGUAAAGUGUACGAAGAAACUCCGUACUGAUGGACUUUUGGAGUCUCUUGAUUUUGAAUCAUUUGACACAUGUGAGACAUGCUUCAUGGGCAAGAUGAUCAAUACACCAUUCUCCGGAAUAAUGGAGCGAGCAACCAACUUAUUGGAAAUAAUACAUACCGACGUAUGCGGUCCAAUGAGCGUUCAAGCUCGCGGAGGCUAUCGUUAUGUUCUCACCCUCACUGAUGAUUUGAGUAGAUAUGGGUAUGUCUACUUAAUGAAGCAGAAGUCUGAAACCUUUGAAAAGUUCAAGGAAUUUCAGAGUGAGGUGGAGAAUCAACGUGACAAGAAAAUAAAGUUUCUACGAUCUGGUCGUGGAAGAGAAUAUUUGAGUCACGAGUUUGGCACGCACCUAAGGAAAUCUGGAAUUGUUUCACAACUCAUGCCGCCUAGCACACCGCAGCGUUACGGUGUGUCUGAACGUCGUAAUCACACUUUAUUGGAUAUGGUGCGAUCUAUGAUGUCUCUUACCGAUUUACCGCUAUCAUUUUGGGGAUAUGCAUUGGUAACCGCCGCAUUCACUUUGAAUAGGGCACCGUCUAAAUCCGUUGAGACGACACCAUAUGAAUUAUGGUUUGGCAAGAAAUCUAAGCUGUCGUUUCUGAAAGUUUGGGGCUGCGAUGCUUAUGUGAAGAAACUUCAACCAGAGAAGUUCGAACUCAAAGUGAAAAAAUGCGUCUUCGUAGGAUACCCUAAGGAAACUAUUGGGUACACCUUCUAUCUUAGAUCCGAAGGCAAAAUCUUUGUAGCCAAGAGCAGAUCCUUUCUAGAGAAAGAGUUUCUCUCGAAAGAAGUAAGUGGACAGAAAACAGAACUUGAUGAGGUAAUUGUACCUCCUCUUGAACCGUAGAGUAGCGCAACGCAAGAAAAUGUUUCUGAGGCGCCUGCACCGGCUAGAGAUGAAGUUAGUGAUGAUGAUCAUGAAACUUCGGAUCAAGUUGCUAUUGAACCUCGAAGGUCGACAAGGGUACGUUCCGCACCAGAGUGGUACGACAACCCUUUCAUGGAAAUCAUGUUGUUAGACAAUAGUGAAUCUUCGAACUAUGAAGAAGCGAUGGCGGGCCGGAUUCUAACAAAUGGCUUGAGGCCAUGAAAUCCGAGAUAGAAUCCAUGUAUGAGAACAAACUAUGGACUUUGGUGGACUUACCCGAUGAUCGGCGAGCCAUAGAAAAUAAAUGGACUUUUAAGAAGAAGAUUGACGCAGAUGGUAAUGUGACCAUCUGUAAGGCUCGACUUGUUGCUAAGGGUUAUCAACAAGUUCAAGGGAUUGACUACGAUGAGACCUUCUCACCCGUAGCGAUGCUGAAGUCGGUCCGAAUUAUGUUAGCAAUUGUUGCAUUCUAUGAUUAUGAAAUCUGACAAAUGGACGUCAAAACAACAUUCCUGAACGACUUUCUUAAGGAAUAAUUGUAUAUGAUACAACCGGAAGGUUUUGUCGAUCCUAGCAAUGCUAACAAGGUAUGCAAGCUCUAGCACUCCAUCUAUGGGCAGAUGCAAGCAUCUCAGAGUUGGAACAUUCGCUUUGAUGAGGUGAUCAAAGCGUUUGGAUUUAUACAUACUUAUGGAGAAGCCUGUAUUUACAAGAAAGUGAGUGGGAGCUCUGUAGCAUUUCUCAUAUUAUAUGUGGAUGACAUAUUGUUGAUCGGGAAUGAUAUAUAACUAUUGGAAAGCAUCAAGGCCUAUUUUAAUAAGAGUUUUUCAAUGAAGGACCUUGGAAAAGCUGCUUACAUAUUAGGCAUCAAGAUCUAUAGAGAUAGAUCGAGACGCCUCAUAGGUCUUUCACAAAGCACAUACCUUGACAAGAUAUUGAAGAAGUUCAAUAUGGAUAAGGAUAAGAAGGGGUUCUUGCCUGUAUUAAAAGGUGUGAGGUUGAGUACAACUCAAUGCCCGACCACGACGGAAGAUAGAGAAAAGAUGAGUAUCGUCCGCUAUGCUUCAGCCAUAAGCUCUAUCAUGUAUGCCAUGCUGUGUACCAGACCUGAUGUGAACCUUGCCUUAAGUUUGGUAGGGAGGUACCAAAGUGAUCCAGCAGUGGAUCACUCGACAACGGUCAAGAAUAUCAUAAAGUACCUGAAAAGGACUAAAUAUAUGUUUCUCAUAUAUGGAGGUGCUGAAGAGCUCGUCGUAAAGGGUUACGUCGAUGCUAGUUUCGACACAGAUCCAGAUGACUCCAAGUCACAAACCAGAUAUGUGUAUAUUUUGAAUAAUGGGGCAGUUAGCUGGUGCAGUUGCAAGCAAAGCGUCGUGGCGGCAUCUACAUGUGAAGUGGAGUACAUAGCUGCUUCAGAAGCAGCACAUGAAGGAGUCUGGAUGAAGGAGUUCAUCACCGAAAUAGGAGUGAUUCCAUGUGCGUCGGGACCGAUGACUCUGUCCUGUGACAACACUAGAGCUAUUGCCAUUGCAAAGGAGCCCAGGCUUCACAAGAAGACCAAGCACGUCAAGCGCCGCUUCAACUCCAUUCGUGGAUACAUGCAGGAUGGAGAUAUAGAUAUUUGUAAAGUACACACGGAUCUGAAUGUCGCAAACCAGUUGAAUAAACCUCUUCCACGAGCGAAACAUGAUGAACACGUGAACUCUAUGGGUGUUUGAUUCAUCACAAUGAAACUAGAUUAUUGACUCUAGUGCAAGUGGGAGACUGUUGGAAAUAUGCCCUAGAGGCAAUAAUAAAGUGGUUAUUAUUGUAUUUCCUAGUUCAUGAUAAUUGUCUAAUAUUCAUGCAAUAAUUGUAUUAACCCGAAACCGUAAUACAUGUGUGAAUAUAUAGAUCAUAGUGUGUCCCUAGUGAGCCUCUAGUUGGCUAGAUCGUUGAUCAAUAGAUGAUCAUGGUUUUUGAUCAUGGACAUUGGAUGUCAUCGAUAACGGGAUCACAUCAUUGGGGAAUGAUGUGAUGGACAAGACCCAAUCCUAAGAAUAGCACUAGAUCGUGUUGUUCGUCUGCUAAAGCUUUUCUAAUGUCAAGUAUGAUUUCCUUAGACCAUGAGAUUGUGCAACUCCCGGAUACCAUAGGAGUGCUUUGGGUGUAUCAAAUGUCACAACGUAACUGGGUGAUUAUAAAGGUGCACUACAGGUAUCUCUGAAAGUGUCUGUUGGGUUGUACGAAUCGAGACUGGGAUUUGUCACUCCGUGUGACGGAGAGGUAUCUCUGGGCCCACUCGGUAAUCCAUCAUCAUAUUGAGCUGAGUGUGACUAAGGAGUUAGCCACGGGAUGAUGUGUUACGAAACGAGUAAAGAGACUUGCUGGCAACGAGAUUGAACAAGGUAUAGGGAUACCGACGAUCGAAUCUCGGGCAAGUAUCAUACCGGUAGACAAUGAGAAUUGCUUGCAUACAUGAUUGAUUGAAUCCCCGACAUUGUGGUUCAUCCGAUGAUAUCAUCAAGGAACAUGUGGGAACCAACAUGGAUAUCCAGACCCCGCUAUUGGUUAUUGACCGGAGAGGUGUCUUGGUCAUGUCUGCAUGCUUCCCGAACCCGUAAGGUCUACACACUUAAGGUUUAAUGACGCUAGGGUUAUAGGGGAAUAGUGUACUUGGUUACCGAAGGUUUUUUGGAGUCUCGGAUGAGAUCCCGGAUGUCACGAGGAGUUCCAGAAUGGUUCGAAGGUAAAGAUUGAUAUAUAGGAAGUGAGGAUUUGGACGCCGGGAGUGUUUCGGGUGUCACCAGUAAUGUACCGGGAGCGCCGGAAGGGUUUCGGGGAUCCACCAGCAAGGGCCACCAGCCCCAAGUUGCUACAUGGCUAAGAGUGGGUGGGAACCAGCCCAUAUGUGGGCUGGUGCACCUCCACAAGAAGUCCAAGGCGCAGCAAGGGUGGAGAGGGGCAAAACCCUAGGCAUGGGGAGGCCACCUUGGGCCUCAAGGGCCACCCUAGGGCGCCACCUCCUUGGCCGCCGCCCCAAACCCAUCUAGGGCUGUCGCACCCUUUAGGGUGGGAAACCCUAAAGGUGGGCACCCUCCUCCCUCUCCUCCUAUAUAUAGUGAGGGUUUUGGGGCUAAUUUGAGAUAACUUCUCUCUCUCUCGGCGCAGCCCUACACCCCCUCCUCCUCGUCCUCCGUAGUGCUUGGCGAAGCCCUGUCGGAGUUACCAGACAGCUCCACCGUCACCACACCGUCGUGUUGCCGGACCUCUCCCUCAACCUCUCCUCCCUCCUUGAUGGAUCAAGGCGUUGGAGAUUUCACCGGGCUGCACGUGUGUUGAACGGGGAGGCACCGACGUUCGGUGCAUAGAUCGAAAUCCACCGCGAUCUGAAUCAUUGCGAGUACGACUCCAUCAACCGCGUUCAUAGUAACGCUUCCGCUUAGAGAUCUUCAAAGGUAUGAAGAUGCUCUACUCCUUUGCUCGUUGCUGGUUUCUCCAUAGAUAUAUCCUUGCAUGGCGUAGGAAUUUUUUGAAAUUAUUACGUUCCCCAACACAUAUGACCACUAUUCGUACACUUCUUGACGUGGCCUCUGCACACCACUAGUUUGUAUCUCAGCUUGAAGUUAAGAAUGCCUUUGUUAAUGGUGAGAUGCGUGAGGAGGUGUACAUGCAUCCACCACCUGGGUAUUAUGUUCCUGAUGGCAUGGUAUGUUGUCUUCCUUGCUUUCUCUUUGGCCUUAAGCAAGCCCCCCGUGUGUGGUUUGAGCGUUUUGCCUCUGUGGUGAUUGCCGCUGGUUUUUCAGCAAGUGCUCAUGACCCCUCGUGGUCGGACUCUUCUUCUUCUCCAUGUUGAUGACAUGAUCAUCACUGGUGAUGAUCCCGAGUAUAUUGCCUUUGUAAAGGCCCGUCUUAGUGAGCAGUUUCUUAUGUACGAUUUUGGACCUCUUCGCUACUUUCUUGGGACUGAAAUCCCUUCUACCUCUGAUGGAUUUUUUAUAUCCCAGGAAAAGUAUAUCCAGGAUCUUCUUGCUUGUGCUGCUCUUACCGACGAGCACAUUAUUGAGACUCCCAUGGAGCUCAAUGUUCACCUCCAUGAUACUGAUGGCGACCCCCUGCCUGACCCGACGCGUUAUCGUCAUCUUGUUGGCAGUCUUGUCUAUCUAGUUGUCACUCGUCUGGAUAUCUCUUACCCGAUUCAUAUUCCGAGUCAGUUUGUCUUCGCUUCCACCUCGGUUCACUAUAGUCACUUCCUUUGUGUUCUCUGAUGUCUUCGGGGCACAAUCCCUCACCGUCUAUUCUUUCCUCGCUCCAGUUCUUUACAGCUUCAGGCCUAUUCGGAUGCUACGUGGGCUAGUGAUCCUUCAGAUCACCGUUCACUUUCUGCUUACUGUGUUUUUCUUGAUGGUUCUCUCAUUGCAUGGAAGACUAAGAAACAGACCGAAGUUUCCCGUUGGAGUGCAUAGGUUGAGUUGCGAGCUAUGGCUCUUUUGACGACAGAGGUGACUUGGUUACGAUGGUUACUUCAGGAUUUUGGUGUUUUUUUCACUACAUCUACUCUGCUCUUAUCUGACAGUAUAGGUGCUAUUAGCAUUGCACGCAAUCCUGUGAAGCAUGAGCUCACCAAGCAUAUUGGUGUUGAUGCUUUCUAUGUGUGCGCUGGUGUGCAGGAUCAGGUUAUUGUUGUUCAGCAUGUGCCUUCCCAAUUACCGUUGGCAGAUUUCUUGACGAAGGCCCAAACUAGAGCGCAACAUGGCUUCUAUCUCUCCAACUCAGUGUUGUUCAUCCACCAUGAGUUUGAGAGGGGGGGUGUUAGAGUAUAUAUAAUAUAGCCAUGUACCCUUUUGUACUUAUCCCAUUGUAUAAGGAGUUUCCUGCAUAUAUUUCACACAUCACACACACACUCACACNNNNNNNNNNNNNNNNNNNNNNNNNNNNNNNNNNUAUAUAUAUAUAUAUUGUAACACCCUGAUUUUUUCAAACCUUUUCUUUUUAAAAUAUUUUUGAAGAUCACUUGCAAUUUGGUGGAUUUGCAAAUUCUCAAAGCAAGUUGGAUUAUGAAAUCUCCGAUUUCUUGUCUCAAACAACCCAAAACCAUUUGCUUCUUACUAAAACCUUUCUGAGAUUUAUUUGCAAUAUUUUAUUUCAUCAAAUAAUUCUCUUUUUCUAUUUUGGGAAUUAUGCAAUCACUAUGGGUUGUGAAGCAACCUAUAGCUUGGAUGAGCUUUAAGACCCAAAACUUUUGCAACAUCUUCUCAAUGCCAUAAAAUUUCAAAAUAUUCAAAAAUAUUUCUUUGUCCAAUGGAUAAUUAUGGCCAGAAUAAUUAUUUAUUAUCUGACCAGAAUUUUCUCUUUGUGAAGCAACCCUAUGAUUCCUAUUUUUAAAAAUUCCAAAUAAUUUCCUGUAGUUACUAGGGAUCAUAUAUGGUUCCAAUAUGUAAAAACAUCCCAUGGUCCAAUACAAAUUUUGAGCAAAAACACUCCGCUAAGUUUCUGCUAAAGCAGGACCUUUGUGAAGGAAGUGCUAGCUAGGAGUGCACAAUGGAGCUACAAAUUUUUGGGCAUGUGUGCACUACCAAAUGACACUUCCCCACCAAAUGACACUGGUAGCAAAGCUUGGAAUUGAGUGCUAGGAGCUCAUUUGUGUUCUGGACCAGAAAGAUGGUUUUCAAAGGAACUAUAUUCAUUUGAUCUUCAAACCUUGCCAAUCUUUGCCAGUUUAGAGUCUUUUCUAUGCAGAUUCUCCUAGACAUCUCAUCUUGCUCUAAUCCCAACCCCGUUGAGCUCUAGAACCACCAAAAGUCUGCUGGCAGAACCUGUUGUUGAUGUUCCUAGUCGCAGCAGAGCUUGUAUGUUAAGGCAAGUGGUGGAUGGUGACUGAUGGAAGGCUGGUCGACGCAAUAGACAAGGUUUCAAGGCUUGCGUGGCAUGAGGGUGGCUGCAACCGUGGUGAUCACGGUGCUGGCAUGCCACAGAGCGCGCUUUGCGCAGCUCUAGUGAUAGCCAAGCCGCCCCGAGCCGUCAGUCGCUGCCCCCCUUGUCCUAAGCGCCGACGAGGUCUGUGGUAGCCGCGUGGCACCUCCCAAACCCUCUGGUUUAGCGGAGAAGGCCGCUGUCGCUCCCGGCCAAGCUCCGCCACGGGCAACACAGUGGGCUUCGACCACUGUGGUCGUCCGAAAGCCAUUAAUGGCUCCGAACCCGUCCUGUCGCUCCCCUGACCUCCUCCAUCACCUCACCCCACACCGCGACAGCCAGCUUGCCGUCCUUGCUCGAGUGGCAAGCCCGAGUCUCGCCACUUCGGGAGACCUCGGCAGCGCUCGUCGCUGGCCUAUAUAAGGCGCUGCCCCGAACCCCUCCUAGCUCUCACCCCUCUCCUCCACGCCUGGAUUAGCCCUAGAGACCCCCAGCAAGAGCGAGGAGCUCAUCUCCCUCAGCUCCGGCGGCAAGCCCCGCCGCCAAAUCCCCUCUGUCGCCAGCCUCCUCCGCCCUUCUCCAGUCUAAUUCAAGGCCAUCAGUGUGUUCCCUUGGUUCCUCUGGUGCUCCUCGAGCUGUCGGUGAGUCGAAUCCCUGCCGGAACCGUCGUCGUCGAUGACCACCGUAGCCUCCACCCAUCGGAGAAGAAGGGGCGCUGUCGUAUGUCCACCUCCAAAGGAGCUACAAGUACAGGGAGGACUGCCGUCAAGCGCCCGAUCCAUUCCAGUCAUCUCCCAGCCUAGCCGCCGUCUCUAUCGCCGGUGAGCGUUGCCAGUGAGCCGCCCUCCUGUGUUCCCCCUCCUCUCUCUCUGUUUUAAAAGGGCAGGCCCCACCUACCAGUGGUUGCGGCCUGCGGCCGAAGCGUUAAGUGGAGGCGCCCCUCCACUUUACACCUUCGAUGUGGCCCCUGCCAGUAAUACUAUUUCUUUUAUUUAUUCCAGAUUUUAACAGAAACUUUGACCAUUUAAAUAUUUUUAUUUACAAGUUCAAAUCACUUGAUUCUUUUUGCAUUGAGUUGGUAUUGAAAUUCUUUACAAUCUGGUAAAUUUUGGUAUUUUUCCCACACUCAUAGAAUUUCUGGUUAAUAAAAAGGUAUUUAAUGCUUUUCCUUUUCUUUUGCUAUUUCAAACACAUUUUUCAGAGGGAAACUUUGAAGACCAGGACUGUUUGAACAACCCCACUGAUCAAGGCAAGCCAUCAUCUCCAUGUGAUGUAGUUUUGCAUAGCAUAGCUCACAUCUUCAUGCAUUAUAUUUUCUUAACUUGCUAAGAAAAUAAUCAUUUAAUAAAACAUCAUAUAGAGAUAUAUGCUUAUGAUUAUGAAUCACUAUGGUACUAUGGCAUGAUGGAUGAUCAUGAGUCACCUGACCGGGCAUAAUCGUACAACCACCUCUUGCCGGUAUGGGAAGGCCGUGACUUGGGCUGUCCGCGUGAUCUCUCACCGAUAUGCCCCAAAGAGGGAGGGUUAUGCACGCGUGCCACCUUGGCCCAGUGGGCGGUGAUAACCUUGUGAGCCCAGUUAAGUUGCAUUGGGCCCGUCUGUCGUGGGUAUAAGUCUGACAGUAGAAGUAUGGGGUACGAAAGUAUAUGGGCAGAGCCUUAGCUACGACGAGGAUGUAUGAGUUCAUGCCCCUCUACGGUGGAGGUAAAAGACCUACAUCUCAGUACUCUUGGGAGCUUUGUGUCGAGUGAAUUGUAGGAUUACAGCAAGUGCCAACCCCGUACCAGUGGUGAAGGGCGGCUUAUAUAGAGUGUGCAGCCCUUCAUAAUGGCCCGAUGGACAGGGGUGGAAUAGUGGCGAGUAAAUGCUUACGUUACAAGUAACGUAAGCUUUAAAUGCUAAUAAUGGUGUAUGAAAACGUAUGACCGUUGCCCUCCUGGGAGGUUAUGAUGUACAGAGUGGAUUGUAGUCGGUACGUUAGAUAUGCUCCGAGUGGAUCGUCGCCGACUGGAUGAUGGGGGUGUCCUUAGUUCAGUCGGAACUGUCUAAGGGCCUUGCCUUCUAUGACGGGUAGUCCUUGGGUAGGACCUAUAGGGAAGACCUAUGACCCUACCCUGGGACUAUAACCCCAUCAUUAGUCCCCGAAUGGAUCGGGGUUGGAACGAUGAAGUGAUGUCUGGAGUUUGAAACCGACUGGUAUUGAGGUGACUUUAGCGUUGUUUGCCUCGAUCCAUUUUAUCUUUUCAGCUAGUGAUCCGAGUGAAUAUGCCAGUGAAACGAACCGUGAGGGACCGAAUGCUUCCGCGGAAUCUUUCGACGUGACCGGUCAUACUAACAGCGCCGGAUUUUCCGGGAUCCUCAAAUUUCGGUUGCCGCGCGCUCAGCGGUGAUGACGACAUUGCCAUCGAGUAUAUUUCGCCUCCUCGAUUACCGCGCCGUUAUCUUCUCCACUAAUCUUGCAGCGGCUGGUUGCGGGAUAAGAUUCUGGGCCCACCUGUAGGUGACUCAGUCGGAGGCCUAUUAAAGCUUCCCCGGCGGACCUUCCUGUUGCGCUGCUCGUCCUCCUCCCGUUAAUCUCGCUCUCUCCGCAACUCCUUGCGCACCUCUAGCCACCUCCUUCCUCUCCUCCUCUGCGGAUCCGUCGCCCUCACCAUGACGAAGGGACAGACCAGCAAGCUCGAGGCGAAGAAGAAGAAGAACGGGGCGGCAUCCACUCAGCGGCGGCAGCGGGCGUUGCCGGCGGGAUGGAUCCAAGGGGACUUCCUCCCCUCCUCGGUGACAGAGAACGACGUGCUGGAGCUGGUGGAGCACGGCAUGGUCGUCAACAAGUCCUGGAGGCUGCCGGAAGGCGAGACAGAGCCGGCGCCGAAGGAGGGGGAGCGCGUUCUACUGCUCAGUCACGUGGCCAGAGGUUUCUCCUUGCCUCCCCAUCAUUUCUUCCGAGGUAUCAUGAAUUACUUCGGGGCGCAGCUCCACCACUUCCCUAUGAACGCGAUAGCUCAUCUUUCCGCAUUCAUCACCCUCUGUGAGUGCUUCAUAGGAUGUCCCCCCCCACUGGGGGCUCUUCAAAUACGUUUUCUCCGCUAGAUCUCAGACUGUUAAAAAGCUUCGCCAGCCUGAUGAUAAGACACACAUCCUCCAGCUCUGCGGGGGUUUGGGAUUUCAGAAUAAAACGAAGAGUAGCUAUCCCUCCCUUCAGUUAUCCGAGUCAGUUAGGACCUGGCAAUCGUCCUGGUUCUAUUUCCAGGACAUUGCCUGCCCGAAUGCUUCGAGUGGGUUGCCACCUUUCAGUUUAGACCGUCCGGGCCCUCCGAGGAAGCUAGCGCUCUCUAAGGGAGAAAGAACCCAGAUCCAACCUUUGGUCGACGCGUUGAUAGCCGUCGUCCGGAGGGGAGUCACCGGCAUGGACUUGCUAGAGACUUUUCUGGGUCGGUGCAUCCAGCCGCUGCAGGCCCGAGACCACGCUAUGUGGCACUACACGGGGCCUUCGGAUACCACUCGGUCUCAUCCUGAAGACGUGAACGAGGAGACUGUGAGUGCGUGGGUCCGCAGCAUCACAGGCACAUGUGAUAACCCCGUGGGAGCUCGACGGGUGAAGGCCUUCCGCGCCGAAAAUCCUCCUCCGAAUGAGGUGAGUACAUGUUGUCGAGUGCUUUUAACCUUCUCAGCUUUAUUGCUUUUCUUGUCUCACUGACUGACGUUGCCGACUGUGUUUUGUGCAGGAGUGGACGAACUGGCACUCUGCAGUCUCGAAUGGGAAUCCAGUCGAGGAAGAGGAAGGCAGCAUGGAGGGCAGCAUGGAUAGCGCCGAGUACAUCUCUGACAGUGGGGAGAUGGAGGAGGAUACAGAAGAGGAGGAGGAGGAGAGUGGAGAGCAUAGCUCGUCACCCUCACCACCAGAACACCGAACCAAGCGCCGUCAUGACCCCGCUGCUCCGCCGGCCCCUCCCGUGGCCCCGAGUGCUCCGUCGGCUCCUCCCGUGGCCCCGAGUGCUCGGAGUGUGAAGAGAACCAGGGGUGCUUCUGCCGAGCCCGUGAACCAGCCGUCCAAGGUGGCUAAAUCUAGCGGGUCUAAACCUCGGAAAGCCUUGCCCCGGAUGAGGAUCGCUGUUCCGGUCGCCUCAGCGUAAGUAUCUUUGCUCUUCCAUCUUCCUUCAGUAUCCGAUUGGACUCUUCUUUUUGGGAAUUCAUGUUUACCCGUCGAGUGGAAUUCACUCAAGAGAGCUGCUACCUCCACCACCUUUGUGCCGCGUCAGGAUGAUGAUCCCAUGGACACUGAUAACGCCGCCACGUCCCAGCAAGGUACGUUGUCAUGACUCCGAAAGCUGUAUUACCGUUUCGCGAGUGCUGUCUUUGAUCUUGACCUUUUUCUGUACUUAUUUUAUUCAGUCGGGCUUCCUUCGGAGGUGAUCCAUCUGGACGACGACGACCAAAGGAGGUCGGAGCCAGCUUUGGCCCUGCCCCUGGGGUUAUCCAACCUGCUGCCAAUCCUGCCAUGAACGAGCCGCCGACUGAGACGGUGGCCCUCACGGCGGAACCGAAUGGAGUAGAGCUCGGGAUGCCCAGGGAGCCUUCUACCACGCCGGGUCCGUCGGCUGUUCAAUAUGAUGCCCGACGCCUCCCGAAAGAUCAGGUAGGAGCCGCCAAGGACGCCAUGGUGCAAGUGGAGCUCAUGGUGGGCGACGCCAAGGGAGCAUAUGACUCCAUCGCGUCCGUGUACAAGAAGAGCUUGGAGCUUCGGGAUGAUAUCCGAGUAAGUGCGCUAGUAAGUGUUUACAUUCCUCUUGGUACCCACUGGGGGUUUCAACGAGGUACUCGGAUACAGUAGGUUGAUUUUCUAGUGGGUUCACUCCGAGUGAACCCAGUGGGUGUAGUCCCCGAGACUUCUAUCGAGUGCUUGCACCGAUAGUUUUCUUUAUAUGUAUUUUCCGUAAUCUCUACAGAUCAGAGCUGAUCUGCCCGAAUGGUACCAGUGGGGGCACGCCGAGUGCACCCACUGGGUGUAGUCCCCGAGAGUAGUGUUACUCGGGUCGAGUAAUAGUAGUCUCAUAGUGUUGUUGGUUUGCUAUGGAGCUCAAUGGGACCGACCUGUUCGAGCUUCAUACCAGUGGGGUCACUCUUAGUGAACCCACUGGGUGUAGUCCCCGAGACCGCUGUGGAUUGCUUGCAUCGGUAGGGCUCUGAAGAAUUUUGAGCUUUCAUUGUUUUGUCAUAUCUGUCGAGACUUUUUCCUUGUUAAAUCUGGCUGAUCCUCCCUUUGUGUCUCUUUGGCAGAAGACUUGUGAAAUGGGAUCGGCUUAUAAUGCUCUGAAGGCUGAGAAGACCCAACUUGUUGCCGACUUGGAGGUAGCUGCGAAUGACCUGGCUGGCACGAAGGUGGCUCUCGCUGAACGAGAAAAAUCUUUGGAGGAAUCUCGGGAGGCUAACAAGGCACUGGUAGCCGAGGUAGAAAAAAUGAAGGAGAUAUCCGAAUGGAUGGGCCAGCUGAAGGAAAUGAACACUCGGUGCAGAGCGCAGGAGAACUACGUCGACGACUGGGUGAAAAAGAUGGUCGCACUACUUGGUGGUAAUUCUUGCCGAGUGCUUUUUGACUUUGGAGUUCACUCCGCGCUUAUUUUCUGCUUGUCUUUUCUUUGCAGAUUUCUGUCGGGAUGUUGAGACCGAAAUAACAGAAAUUGAACGGUCGCUUGUUCCGAAUGUUCCACUCGGCGAUGAAGCUAACCGGGACAUGUUCAGAGUGAAUUCUCGCCUUAACAGGGUGGGUCCUUUCAUUGGUCGCCUGAGAGGAGUUGUCGGCCGAAUCGACAAGGAGUUGUGGCCUGAAGAUGACUCUUGGAACGAGAUAGAGGGGUUGAUGACUCGACUAGAGGACGUUCCAAGCAGAGUGCAGGCAUGGAAGAAGUCUGUCGCUCGGUGUGGUGCGGACGUGGCGCUGUCUCUGGUCCGAGUGCACUGCAAGGAAGCCCGCAAAGACAAGCUGAAGACGUUGCAGGUCGCCAACACCAAGAAGCUUCGAUUUGAAGAUUUCAUGGAGACCUUCCUCAACACAGCCACUCGGAUUGCAGAUGGAAUCAACCUCGACACCUUUGUGGAGCCUGCCAGUCCCGGCGACGCUUGAUAAACUUUAUGCUGAACGCACAUUUACCUCGGUAUGCCGAGUGGAGUCUGUAUUAAACUUUGGCCACUGUUGUUGGCCGGUACAUUCAUGGCUCGGUGUGGAUAAACUUGAUUCACACCGAGCCAACUGAUCGCAGAACCGAUUUGAAUUCGAAUCGGAUCUUUUGCUCUUCUUUCGCUGAGUUUUUUUUUGACACGAUUUUGGCUCGUGGUUUUUGUUUGGGCGUCUCUUGGUGAAGCCAAUGGCAGACAUGCAGAGCAUGUAGUUGUCAGUUGUCUUCACAUCCACAUGAGCCUCAAUGAGGGUGUGCUAAGCCUCCGAGUGUAUCUCGAGUGUCCACUCGGAGGAAGCUUUUUUACUUAGGCGACUCUAAGGCACAACUAAGUCCCCGAGUGUGACUUUUGGUGCACACUCGGAGCAAGAUUUUUACUUAGGCGACUCUGGGUCGCAGCUAAGUCCCCGAGUGUGACUUUUAGUGCACACUCGGAGUGAGUUUGUACUUAGGCGACUCUGGGUCGCAGCUAAGUCACCUAGUGUGACUUUUAGUGCACACUCGGAGCGAGUUUGUACUUAGGCGACUCUGGGCCGCAGCUAAGUCCCCGAGUGUGACUUUACGUGCACACUCGGAGCGAGUUGUUACUUAGGCAACUCUGGGUCGCAGCUAAGUCUCCGAGUGUGACUUUUUGUGCACACUCGAAGCGAGUUUGUACUUAGGCGACUCUGGGCUGCAGCUAAGUCUCCGAGUGUGACUUUCGUGCACACUCGGAGCGAGUUGUUACUUAGGCGACUCUGGAUCGCAGCUAAGUCUCCGAGUGUGACUUUUAGUGCACACUCGGAGUUAGUUUUUUAGACCGGAGUGUGCAAACGCGGAAGAAUUUUGAAUCAGCAAGAAAUUAAUCCGCUUUGUAUUACUUCGAUGAUACUUGUUCUUUACAUUGUCUCUGUCGGCGGCUAUGUGUAGAAGCGCUUCAGUAGAUCUCCAUUCCAUGCUCGCGGCUUGUCCGUUUCCCUGUCGAGGUUGUAGAGUUGAUAUGCUCCGUUGUUCAGCACCUUAGAAAUGAUGAACGGCCCUCCCCAGGCGGGAGCCAACUUGUGUGGUCUUUGUUGGUCCACUCGGAGCACCAGGUCGCCUUCUUGGAACGUGUGGCUCCUGACGUGCCGCGCAUGAAAUCGCCGUAGAUCUUGUUGAUAAAUUGUUGAACGGAUCAGUGCCAUCUCGCGCUCCUCUUCUAAAAGGUCCACUCCAUCUUGCCUGACUUGCUCUGCUUCGGCUUCGGAGAAGAGUUUGACUCGUGGAGAGUUGUGAAGCAAGUCACUCGGAAGGACUGCCUGUGCUCCAUAAACGAGGAAAAACGGGGAUCGCCCUGUCGAUCUAUUCGGAGUUGUGUGGAGGCCCCACAGCACCGAAGGCAGCUCGGUGACCCAUGCGCCGGCGGCAUGUCCAACUUCUCGCAGGAGUCGAGGCUUCAACCCUUGAAAAAUAAGUCCAUUCGCCCGCUCUGCUUGCCCGUUUGUUUGGGGAUGCGCGACGGAUGAAAAAUCCACUCGGAUACCUUGGCCCGUGCAAAAACCUUUGAACCUGUCCAAGUCAAAGUUUGUGGCAUUGUCGGUGAUUAUGCUAUGUGGAACUCCGUAUCUGGCAAUGAUGUCUCUGAUAAAUUUGAUGGUCGUAAGGGCAUCAAGCUUCUUGAUAGGCUUGGCUUCAAUCCACUUGGUAAAUUUGUCGACUGCUACCAGCAGAUGGGUGAAUCCUCCUUCGCCUGUUCUGAAUGGUCCGACUGUAUCUAGUCCCCACACGGCGAAUGGCCAAGCAAGAGGAAUUGUCUUCAGCGCAGAUGUUGGCUUGUGGGACUUGUUUGAAUAGAAGUGACAACCUUCGCAAUGGUCGACUAUAUCUUUUGCCAUUUCAUUCGCCUACAACCAGAAGAAACCAGCUCUGAAUGCUUUGGCGACGAUUGCCCUUGAGGAGGCAUGAUGGCCGCAGGUUCCCGAGUGAAUUUCUUCCAAAAUUAACCGCCCCUCCUCAGGAGAGAUACACCGCUGAAGGACGCCUGAAACACUUUCUCUGUAUAACUGGUCAUCAAUGGCGGUGAAGGACUUCGACCUGCGAACGAUCUGCCUAGCUUGGACCUCGUCUUCCGGUAACUCUUGCCUCAGGAUGUACGCAAUGAAUGGCAUGGUCCAUUCGAGAAUGACAGCUAGAAUCUCCAUAAUCAAGUCAACCACAGCGGGAACCUUGACUACAGUCUGAUCUCUUGAGAUCUUCGGUUGUACAGGUUCCUCUGUAAAAGGAUCUUCUUUUACCGAGGGGAGGUGUAGGUGCUCGAGGCAGACAUCACUCGGGACCGGUCUCCGUGUGGAUCCCAGUUUUGCCAAUUCAUCUGCUGCUUGGUUUUUCAGCCGGGGAACAUGGUGAAGUUCCAGACCUUCGAACUUCUUCUCGAGCUUCCUUAUUGCGUUGCAGUAUGCAGUCAUGGUGGGGUUCCUUACAUCCCACUCCUUCAUUACUUGAUUAACCACAAGAUCUGAGUCGCCAUAGACCAUCGGGCGACGGACGCCGAGUGUGAUGGCCAUGCGCAACCCGUAAAGGAGAGCUUCGUACUCUGCUUCGUUGUUGGAAGAAUCAAAAUGGAUCUGCAACACAUACUUGAGUUUAUCACCUUUCGGGGAUAUGAGCACUACGCCGGCGCCGGAGCCAUUCAACAUCUUGGACCCAUCGAAGAACAUGGUCUAAUGAGCUGAGUAGAUGUGAGUCGGUUGCUGUUGUUCUACCCAUUCCGCUAUCAAAUCAGCAAGAGCUUGAGACUUUAUAGCUUUCUUGGCUUCGAACUUGAUGUCGCAGUAUAGCAUCUCCAUUGCCCACUUUGCCACUCGGCCUGAUGCGACCCGAUUGUGGAGAAUUUCCGACAACGGAGCGUCAGAUAUGAUAGAUACCGAGUGGUCUUGGAAAUAAUGAGCCACCUUCUUUGCAGUCAUGUAGAUCCCAUAAAUAAGCUUCUUAUAAUGGGGAUACCUCUGCUUGGAAGGAGUGAGGACUUCAGAAACAUAAUAUACUGGCCAUUGAACCUUGUACGCUUUGCCUUCUUCUUCGUGUUCGACUGUCAGAACGGUGCUGACAACUUGAUUUGUAGCCGCGAUGUACAGAAGAAGGGGUUCUUUACUGAGCGGGGCAGUAAGAACCGGCUGGGUGGAAAGCAUGGCUUUGAGGUCGUCGAAUGCGAUUUCGGCUUUGUCUGUCCACUCGAAGGUAUCUGACUUCUUCAUGAGUCGGUACACAUGUAACGCCUUCUCGCCGAGUCGAGCGAUAAACCUGCUCAAAGCCGCUAGGAAACCUGUGAGCUUUUGAACAUCAUGUACUCUUACCGGUCGCUCCAUUCGAACAAUGGUCCCGAUAUUUUCGGGGUUGACAUCGACCCCUUGUUCGGAAACGAAGAAACCGAGUAACUUCCCGCUAGGAACGCCGAAUGAACACUUGGCUGGGUUGAGCUUGAUAUCGUACCUACGUAGGUUGGCGAAUGUUUCUGCCAAGUCAGUCAGCAGGUCGGAACCUUUGCGUGACUUGACGAUGAUAUCAUCCAUAUAUGCCUCCACAUUUUGACCGAUCUGGUCUAGGAGGCAUUUUUGGAUCAUGCGCAUAAAAGUUGCUCCUGCAUUCUUCAAACCGAAUGGCAUAGUGAUGUAACAGAAGCACCCGAAUGGGGUGAUGAAGGCUAUUUUUAAUUCAUCUGGACCAUACAGACGGAUCUGAUGAUAGCCCGAAUAGGCAUCAAGGAAGGAUAAGCGCUCGCAACCCGCAUUCGAAUCAACGAUUUGAUCAAUGCGGGGGAGCGGGAAGUGGUCUUUCGGACAGACCUUAUUAAGAUGCUUGAAAUCGAUGCACAUACGGAGAGACUUGUCCUUCUUGGGCACCAUGACAACAUUAGCGAGCCACUCGGAGUGGUGUACCUCACGAAUGAAGUUGGCUGCCAAUAGUUUAGCCACCUCCUCUCCGAUUGCUUUCCUCUUGUGCGCGGCGGACCGACGCAGGCGUUCUCGGACGGGCCGAGCAGCAGGAUCUACAUGCAGUCGGUGCUCAGCCAACUCCCUAGGUACACCUGGCAUGUCAGAGGCUUCCAUGCAAAAAUGUCCCAGUUCUCACGGAGGAAUUGGGUGAGCUCGGCUUCCUAUUUUGGAUCAAGGGUGGUGGAGAUGUUUGUUGGGGCGGCAGUGGCAUCCGUCAGGUGGAUGCUUACUUUCUUCGUGUCUCCCGCCGACUGGAAUGCGGACUCGGAAGCUGGCUUCUUUGAACGCAUCAGGCCAGCGGGGUCGGCGGUCUUCUUGUACUCAUCCAACUCGAGUACAGCCAUCUGAUGAUCUGCAAUUCUCGACCCCUACUGCAGACACUCCUCGGCCCGCUGCUGAUUGCCUAUGACAGUAAUCACACCUUUGGGACCGGGCAUCUUCAGCUUCAAAUAGACGUAACAUGGACGGGCCAUGAAACGCGCAUAUGCCGGACGGCCCAGAAUCGCAUGGUAUGCACUCUGGAAGUCUACCACCUCGAAUGUUAACUUCUCUUUGCGGAAGUUCUUGUCAGAGCCGAAAACGACAUCCAACGCAAUCUGGCGGAGUGAUUUGGCCUUUCUUCCUGGGACUACUCCAUGGAACUGCAUACUUGUAGGGGAACGUCGCAUGGGAAACAAAAAAUUUCCUACGCGCACGAAGACCUAUCAUGGUGAUGUCCAUCUACGAGAGGGGAUGAGUGAUCUACGUACCCUUGUAGAUCGUACAGCAGAAGCGUUAGUGAACGCAGUUGAUGUAGUGGAACGUCCUCACGUCCCUCAAUCCGCCCCGCGAACAAUCCCGCGAUCAGUCCCACGAUCUAGUACCGAACGGACGGCACCUCCGCGUUCAGCACACGUACAGCUCGACGAUGAUCUCGGCCUUCUUGAUCCAGCAAGAGAGACGGAGAGGUAGAAGAGUUCUCCGGCAGCGUGACGGCGCUCCGGAGGUUGGUGAUGACCUUGUCUCAGCAGGGCUCCGCCCGAGCUCCGCAGAAACGCGAUCUAGAGGAAAAACCGUGGAGGUAUGUGGUCGGGCUGCCAUGGAAAAGUCGUCUCAAAUCAGCCCUAAAACCUCCGUAUAUAUAGGUGGGAGGGAGGGGACCUUGCCUUGGGGAUCAAGGAGCCCCAAGGGGGUUGGCCGAGUCCAAGGGGGGAGGACUCCCCCCCCCAAACCGAGUUGGACUUGGUUUGGUGGGAGGGAGUCCCCCUUCCUUCCCACCUCCUCCUUUUUUUUUCUCUCUUGAUUUUCUCUUCUUGGCGCAUAGAGCCCUUUUGGGCUGUCCCACCAGCCCACUAAGGGCUGGUGUGCCAUCCUCAAGGCCUAUGGCCUUCCCCGGGCUGGGUUGCCCCCCCCCCCCAGUGAACUCCCGGAACCCAUUCGUCAUUCCCGGUACAUUCCCGGUAACUCCGAAAACCUUCCGGUAAUCAAAUGAGGUCAUCCUAUAUAUCAAUCUUCGUUUCCGGACUAUUCCGGAAACCCUCGUGACGUCUGUGAUCUCAUCCGGGACUCCGAACAACAUUCGGUAACCAACCAUAUAACUCAAAUACGCAUAAAACAACGUCGAACCUUAAGUGUGCAGACCCUGCGGGUUCGAGAACUAUGUAGACAUGACCCGAGAGACUCCUCGGUCAAUAUCCAAUAGCGGGACCUGGAUGCCCAUAUUGGAUCCUACAUAUUCUACGAAGAUCUUAUCGUUUGAACCUCAGUGCCAAAGAUUCAUAUAAUCCCGUAUGUCAUUCCCUUUGUCCUUCGGUAUGUUACUUGCCCGAGAUUCGAUCGUCAGUAUCCGUAUACCUAUUUCAAUCUCGUUUACCGGCAAGUCUCUUUACUCGUUCCGUAAUACAAGAUCCGCAACUUACACUAAGUUACAUUGCUUGCAAGGCUUGUGUGUGAUGUUGUAUUACCGAGUGGGCCCCGAGAUACCUCUCCGUUCACACGGAGUGACAAAUCCCAGUCUUGAUCCAUACUAACUCAACUAACACCUUCGGAGAUACCUGUAGAGCAUCUUUAUAGUCACCCAGUUACGUUGCGACGUUUGAUACACACAAAGCAUUCCUCCGGUGUCAGUGAGUUAUAUGAUCUCAUGGUCAUAGGAAUAAAUACUUGACACGCAGAAAACAGUAGCAACAAAAUGACACGAUCAACAUGCUACGUCUAUUAGUUUGGGUCUAGUCCAUCACGUGAUUCUCCUAAUGACGUGAUCCAGUUAUCAAGCAACAACACCUUGUUCAUAAUCAGAAGACACUGACUAUCUUUGAUCAACUGGCUAGCCAACUAGAGGCUUGCUAGGGACGGUGUCUUGUCUAUGUAUCCACACAUGUAAAUGAGUCUUCAUUCAAUACAAUUAUAGCAUGGAUAAUAAACGAUUAUCUUGAUACAGGAAUUAUAAUAAUAACUAUAUUUAUUAUUGCCUCUAGGGCAUAAUUCCAACAAUACUGCUCUCGCUAAGUCUGGACAUCGGAAUGCCCAUUCCUUUGAGAGUAACGACGUACAUGAUAUUCAAGCCGCUGCCGCCGUCCAUGAGGACUUUGCGCAGCCUAAUUUCUUCCACCAUCGGGUCGACGACCAGAGCUUGCCUCCCUGGGGUGGGUACGUGUGAUGGGUGGUCCGACUGAUCAAAGGUGAUUGCAGUAUGUGACCACUUGAGGAACGUGGGUGUGGAUGGGGUUGCCAUGUUUACCUCCCUGUUGACCAGCUUCAGUCGACUCUUGCUUUCCACAUCAGCAAAAAUCAUCAACGUUGCAUGGACUUGAGGGAACGAAUCCUCCUUGUCCUCAUCAUCUUGCUCGGCGUCUUUCUCACUCGGAUGUCCUUCACCGAAUCCUUGGAUCAGGAGGCGACACUGUCGAGUGGUAUGCUUCGGCAAUAUGACAUUGCCUUCUUCAUCCGUCUUCGUGUGGAUUGGACAUGGUUGAUCUAGGAUGGAAUUUCCUGACUGUCUCUUCUUGGGGUGUACUGUGAUUUCCCCUUGCCUUUGAACUUAGCAUUUCUAACGGCUGCCGCCUCUACUUGCGGAGUAGAUUGAGCUUUCUGUUUCUGCUUCCGAGUGUUGCUCCCAUCUCCAUCGGCGACUGACUUAUGCUUGCCGCUACGUAUGCGGUCCUCCUCUUCGCCAUUUUCAUAGCACGCGACUAUCUCCAUCAUCUUGCUCAUGGAGAUGUCGCCUGUUCGACCAAACUUCAGGUACAGAUCUCUGUACCGAACGCCUGCCUUGAAGGCGCAGACUGCUUGGUGCUCUGUGACAUUCUCCACCGUGUGGUAGAGGGUCGUCCAGCGCUGGAUGAAAUCGCGCAAGGGCUCGUUUUGCUUCUGGACACAGUGCUGAAGCUCUACGAGACCAUCACGGCAUUUGCACGUUCCCUCGAAGAUCCUGAUGAAGACUCGGGCCAGAUCUGCCCAACUGUAGAUGCUUGACGGAGCUAACUGGUUUAGCCAAGCUCGCAUCGAACCGUCGAGCAUCAGUGGGAGAUGUUUCAUGGCGACAUGGUCAUCUCCGCCACCGAUCUGGACCGCCACUCUGUAGUCGUCCAACCAAGUUUCUGGUUUGGACUCUCCUGUGAAUUUGCUGAUUCCCGUCGCCAAUCGGAAGUUGGGAGGGAUGUCAGCUGAGCGGAUGGCCCGACUGAAGCACUCGGGGCCAGAAACAAUGGUCCUGCUUCCACUCGGACCGUCUCUAUCGUGACCAUCACGGUGGUCUCGACUUCUAUCGACCUUCUUCUGAGUGAUGUACCCUCUUGCAUCAGGCCUUGGAUCAUGCGCGCCACCGCCCGAACGACGAUCAUCGUAAUGCUAGGGUCCGUAAGGCACACUCCGCGGAGGAGUACGCGAAUGGCGAUGAUCUUCAGGGUGGGACCGAAUGGAAAGCGGAUUCCGACUCGGGUCCCUGGAACGGCUGCCCCCUCUGUGUCGCUGGUGAGAGUAGGGACUGAAAACCGACCGAUGCGUGUUCGCUUGAUUGGAACUAUUGUGGAUCAUGUUGUGCGACCGGGAGACCGCCGAGUUUUGCUGCUGCGCCGUAUGUAACAAGGCACGGAUCUGCUCGAUUCCUCUACCAGCCUCCGAAUCAGUCGGCUCGAGAGAAUCAGCUAUCCUGGCGGCUGCAGCCAAGUUGAGGACGGGUGUGCGGAACACCUCGACGUUGCUCUGGUGAGUGCGUCGACUGGAAGAACGAUGGUGCUGACGACGAGUGCCGGAUGAUUCUCCGAACUCACGCUCGUUCCGACCAGUCCCGAGGGGACUUUCAUGGGAAUCGGCCAUACUUCGGCUGCAGGCCCGUGACCUUGAUACUCGGAAGGUAGUUCAGUCGGAACUGACUCCAAGCACUGGGAUGAUGGCGGGACCACAACCGAUUCGAGCACCGCCACUUGGGAGGACAUGUUUUGUCACGCUAUAGCGUGUCGCACCCAACACUGGAGCCGCGGACGACGGGACCGCUUGUUGCAGCGCAUGACGGGGGCAAAGAUCGACACCGGGGUCGAUGGCUGGAGAAGAAGAACGCCGCAGGAACUGGCACAGAAGUGCAUAGCCCCGCGACUCGGAAGCGCCUCGACGUCGAGGGGCGCAUCCCGAAGCCAUGCCGAAUCGUCGGCGAUGAAGGAGAGUGCACCGAAGAGGAUCUCAUGACCCAUGCACAGAUCUCCGCCGGAUGACAUGACGAAAAGAUGAAAUCACAAACUCGCCGGAACUCGCUUAGACGCCUGCCCCACGAUGGGCGCCAACUGUCGUGGGUAUAAGUCUGACAGUAGAAGUAUGGGGUACGAAAGUAUAUGGGCAGAGCCUUAGCGACGACGAGGAUGUAUGAGUUCAGGCCCCUCUACGGUGGAGGUAAAAGCCCUAUGUCUCAGUGCUCUUGGGAGCUUUGUGUCAAGUGAAUUGUGGGAUUACAGCAAGUGCCAACCCCGUACCAGUGGUGAAGGGCGGCUUAUAUAGAGUGCGCUGCCCUUCAUAAUGGCUCGGUGGACAGGGGUGGAAUAGUGGCGAGUAAAUGCUUACGUUACAAGUAACGUAAGCUUUAAAUGCUAAUAAUGGUGUACGAAAACGUCUGACCAUUGCCCUCCUAGGAGGUUACGAUGUACAGAGUGGAUUCCAGUCGGUACGUUAGAUAUGCUCUGAGUGGAUCGUCGCCGACUGGAUGAUGGGGGCGUCCUUAGUUCAGUCGGAACUGUCUAAGGGCCUUGCCUUCUAUGACGGGUAGUCCUUGGGUAGGACCUAUAGGGCAGACCUAUGACCCUACCCUCGGACUAUAACCCCAUCACCGUCCCCCGUUGGGACAAUUUUGUUUGGCCACGGCGGUGGCAGGUGUCAUGAGGACACAGGGCCACCCAGGGCAGGACUCCGGAAGGGAGUGGUUGCCGGAGAUAUGAUGAGAGAGUCACGGGUCAGGCAAGUUGCGUUGGAGCAAUCCUGGUGCACCCGAAUGGGAUCACGAGGCCAGUGCUCCAGAGUGUGGGUAAAGUGUGCAACCUCUGCAGAGUGUCAAAACUAUUCGAAUAGUCGUGUCCACGGUAAUGGACAGCCCUACCGGACCUCAGUAGAUGGUCAACCGUGUGGAUGUUAGUAAUGAUGGAAGGACCCUCCAGUUGAGGGGAGAUGAUGAUAAGCAUUCCGGUGGUUGUGAGACAACCCCGGACAUGAGUAAGUGGAUGUUAUAAAUUUAAGUGGUAUUAUUCCUAAUUUGUUGCCAUGCUAUUGUUUGCUGCAUUGCUUGGUUAUUAUGAGCUUGCGAGUACAUUCCAAGUACUCACCUGGCGUAUCAUGUCAGAUGCAGGAGAAACCGAGGACGGAGGUCCUGAUGAUGCGUACUAGAAAGUGUCCACAGCAGUGUCCCUGUGUAUGGAGUUGCCGCUAUGUUCCGCUACGUAGUAGAAGUACUUAGUAGUUUCGAGGUCCCGCUAUGUCUCAUAAAUAAUAUAGAUAUUGUGCUGCACCAUGGGUGCCUUUGACCUUGCUAUCAUUGUAAGAUAUGUAUUUGUAACCUUAUGCUAUCAAUAAAGUCAGUUCAGUUCUUUGCCAAGUUGUUGAGUGUUUCCAAAAGACAUGAUCUCUGGGUUGGAAUAUAUAUAUCGGCCUAUAGCCUUAUGAGAAUACAAGUUGCAUAUUCCUAACAUUUGGUAAGGGUCAGUUCUUCCCGGUAGGCACGUGAGUCGUGUGGAUGUUUGAUCUUUUUAAAGUGAUAGACUCAAGCUUUGCCGAUUUAAUUAAGAUAGAAACAAAAACUCCCAGUGAAUGUCCUUGGAUUAGUAUGACCGAAAUCAAAUGAUGGCAGUUUUGUGAAAGAAAUUGCCACCCUCCUAUAACUAAAAUUGUCAUGAAAAUUGUUCGUAACUGCCAUCCCAGCGAACGUUGGUCGUUUAUUGGGGUCCUUCUCCAUAUUGGACCUUUUGACAUUACUGCGUCACAUGCUUAGGGCAUGUAUAAUGAUGGCAUAUCUCUACUAUUAAAGCAGGAUCGAACGUCGUGAUGGUUCAACCAGCUGGAUGGUUCGACCUCCCAGCGACACCUCCCUUCGUUCGACCUCCCCCUCCCACGUAAAAAAAAAACUGCCACGUUUCCCACCCCACCUCUCCCCACCCUUGUUCCCGAUCUGGUCUCUCUCAUGCGAAAAAUCAUCCCACAAGAAAAAUCUAUCUCUCUCGACCGGCCCGCUCGCGCCCCCCGCCUCGCCGAGCCCGCGGAGGCCGCUCCGGGACCUAGCGUUGCGCGACCUGGCGGCGGGCCGCGUCGCCGAGGCCGCGCUGAUCCUCGGGGACAUCGGGCGCGCAUCUGCGGUCGUCGUGAUCACGCUCGAUCCCCCUCCUAAUGAUGUGAUGGUUUAACCAGAACCCCGAUCUCAUCUCUCUCCCGAGUAAAAUCGCCGCCGCUUGUGCUCGCCUCAUCCGAUCGGAAGUCUCAUCCCUUCUGCCCGUCGUGAAGAGAGAUAAGAGAGAGGGACGAGCGCAGCCGCGGUGAUGGCCAUUCUCCUCUUCCCCAUCCAUUCUCCUCAUCACCUGAUCCCAUCACAUCGUCAAGGGAGCCUCACGCGAGCUGUCGCAUCUUUCCUGCCUGCAGGCACUAGAGGAUGCGUAGUCCAGCGCCCAUGUCCUCCGCCCUCCUCUUACACGUCGGCCUUGCAUCCCCACCAUCAUGGACAACGACGGCGUGCUCCCCAUGGUGCUCAGGUAGGUGUCGCUUCAUCCUCGGCCACCUCCAAAAACACGAGAAGAUCCCUUCCCACACCAUCAAAGGUAUCCCGCCAUACUUCCACCGAUCUUGGUGCUUACUUGUUCAUUCUCCAAAACAUUGCACCCAAGAGGUGUUUGGUUAAAUGUGCCAAUGGGUUUUGAUUUGUUAAUCGGUGAACUGGUAAUGGUGUGCUUGUAGAUCAUCAUGUAUGAGCCCUCCAAUCUCGUCCUGCACUCCAAUUGGAUAUAUCCAAAUUGUGGGAUUGAUGGUUAGUUUCAUGACAGGUCUACAUUCAGGCUACUGGGGAGCGGAGCACGGAGAUGGUCACGGACAAGGGAGACAUCUACAUAACAUCCAACCGCGACUAAAACAGGAAGGGUGCCGUGCAGGAGCCACUCUCAACAGGCAGGGAAGGAGCUUGCCAAAUAAUGCCUGCUAAACAGAGUUCAUAAUUUUAUUUUGCUUGUGCUGCUAAGGUAUGUAAAAAAAGCUAGCGGAUGUUUGCUUAUAAUGUCUUAUAUUCAGUACUUAUUUAUGUUCAUACCACAUUACUCUUAUGGAUACGAAAGGAGAUUAUGCUCUGACUAAACAUUAUGCUGUAUUUAGGGCGGUGCAAAAUCCAAUAGUGAGUGGAGAGACUGUGAUUACAUAUCUAAUUUUUCUCCUUUUUCAUCUCAAGAAACGGGAUGUUUUAUCAUGUUAGCAGAUGAUCAUCAAGGCAUAACAUGGUUUGCUCCGCCGUAUCUCUCUGUGGUGCAGAACAAUUUCAAGUGGCACUAGCGGUGCGAGUUACUACAACUGCACUUUCAACACGAUGAACCACCCACCAGACGGCCGGUACGUCACUGUGUCUGCCAUGGGAAGUUCUACUCGACAUGGGAGCCCGGGCAGAACAUGAAACUGUAACUCAAAUGAACUAUAUGCAGUCUGUAGGAGAUAGAUUAUUUGUUCAGCAUGUUCAGAGCUGAGUCUGUUUAUCAUCUGAAACUAUGCAAAUUAUCACAAUGUUUGGCAAAAGGGAUGUUGCAGGUUCAUCGACGACAACGAAGGAUUCGUGCUAGGGCAAUACGGCGUCUUGCACCUCUACGUUGCCUGAAGUACCAGGAAUGGCCAUUUCUAUCUAAACCUCUUUUAUAUUAAAUGAUCUGUAUACCGUGUUUCCUUCUCUUGAUAUUCAAAAUUUAGCGUAUUUUUUUCUAUGUUUCUGAUACAUCGAUAAUUUGCAUGUAUAUGCUGAAAAUGAGUUGGUAUGAAGAACAAAAAUCUUGAAUCAAAAUUGAUUAUGCAAAAGGAAACUUUUUUUCUAUAUAACUUGCUUUUCAAACUUCCUUGGAUGGUUUAUUUGAAUCUGUUAAGUCUGCAUGUGGUAAUUCAUUUAUAGAAUUUCUUAGUGUAAGUAAAUUAUCAUUACUCCAACUCUGGCUUUUUCGGAGUUGACUGCUGAAACCCAAGUUCCAACAUCAUUUAUAUACUUUUGAAUGGAAAAAACAAAAAAAUCCAAUCCAUGGUUCUCUGUUUUCUGCAUCUACUAGGAGACUUCAAAGUGUUCGAUUGCCUUGGUCAAUAUAUAUUUUUACAUUCUGUGUUAUUUGCAUGCUUAUUGAUUUGCAAUAUCAAUGAAACUGGGAACAGUGGGUUGCUUAUCAUCCUAUUCAUGACAACACAAUAGCUGACAAUAGCUCAUCGAGGUAGUCAUCCUCCCUGUACAUUCCUGGCUUCACAAGAACCUGGACUGGUUUGAUUUGAUAGUUGUGGUAGUGUUGAAUUUUCAGAUGCAACAUGGGUUUUUAGUAGUACAGAGUGGACAUCAGGAAUAUAAAUAGUUUCAGGAAUUGCAUAUGUUUUUAAGAUGCUUCAAAUAGUCGGCAUCACUGAAUUGUACAUCUAAAAUUCAUUUGCAUAAAUUAACUGAAGUUUGUUACAAAUUUUGUAUCAUAUUCAGGUUAAGUUUAGUUCAUAUAUGCCAUUCAGUGAGCUUUGGUCGACCAUUCUUUUUUCUCCUAUAUUGUUCGUGAUCUCAUUAUGAACAAAAAUCCCAGUUUUUGUUUGGGUCGUCUUAAUCAAAUAGCCAUUGUACUUGAAUGCAAAAUAAGUUCAAAGUAGGCUAUUCAUUGUCAUCUUUCGAUAUUUUUAGUUCUAAUGUCUUUUGUAUUUGUACAGUAUUGGGCGCUUACAUACAAUAUGUUAACUUAUGCAGAGGACAAGUGCCCCAUCACUCGAGGCUAGGUACAGCCUAAUAUUCUUAUGCAACAUUAUCCGGUCUGGACCAUGUCUUACAAGAUUAAACUUGGAAUUUUGCUUCGGUUUCAAAAUUUUCUUUAAUGAAAUUUUCAUGCCAUUGUUUGUUUUGAAAAAGCCAUGAUUUUACGACAAAAUGGAAAGCUCAUGUGUAGUCGUAGUAGUAGUACUUUAGCAUUUAAUGGUGUUCACACGAAUAGAAAUUUGGCUGCCAAGAUCUCAUGUAAGCAAAAAUAAAUAUUGCCUCAUUGUUUGUCGUUUGUCUGGUUGCGGUCAUAGUGUAUUUUAAGGCCAUAUAACUUUGUAUCGUUGGGAAUUACAUAUUCACAUGUAUGUAUAGAGACUAACAUUAAGUUUGUUUCAGCCUUUGGGUCUACUGGAAAGUUCCUGGUACUCGGAAUAUUUUAUCACAACAUGCGGGAAUAAAAAAACCAAAAAAAUUCUAGACAUAUAAAUAGUUUGUUGUAAAUCCAUUAAACAACGCCUGCCGGGAGUAAUAUCAAAGGCUCUUCCCUCCUUCUAUCCAGAAGAUUAGCCUGGAACCCUAGCUAUCUAGCCCGACGCCAUGGCGACCACAUGAGGACCUAAACCCGGCCGUGGAUGGCGUGGAUCAAAUCCACAGGAGGUGGAUCCUCCAAGACCUACCUCCUCCCACAUGCAUUUUUCGGUAUAAAAGGUUGAUCACUGCAGAGGAGUUGUGUUUCUUUGGGUUUUGGUGUCUGAUUUUAUCAUGUCUUUUUGCCAGGCAGUGGAUUUCAUGGUGAGCGAGGCAAGAAGGUAUAAGAUGCGGUUAAUACUGUCACUAUGUAAUAACUGGGAAGAUUAUGGAGGGAAGGCACAAUAUGUAAGAUGGGGCAAGGAGGCUAGCGUGGAUCUUACUUCUGACGAUGACUUCUUCUCUGAUCCAACACUUAAAGGGUACUACAAAGCUUUUGUUGAGGUAAAUUUCUGGUUCCUUACCUCAGAUAGCCAUCGGAAAUGGGUUCUUGAUAUCUAUCAUGCUGCGUGACCAAUGGAAAUCAUAAUAUGCUUAGCUAUAUGAAAUGACACCAGCAAAUUGUUAUUGCUAAUUGAGGUGUACUUAGGUAGACCCAUCCCCCCUCCACAAAAAAAUGGCAACGUAUACCCACCUCGUACUUUACACAGCAGGUCGUCGUACGUACGUAAUACGAGGUGGGUACAAUGUGAGGUACGUACGGCGGUAUGUUAGUGUACAAUACGAGGUGGGUAUACGUUUCCCCUUCUACGUUUUGUGUCUAAGUGUUGCUAAUUUUAGUUUGCCAUCUCUGAAUUCUGUAGUACUGUAUUCCUUCUAUACCAGAGUUCCAAUACUAUGCAUAUGUUUCCUUUGUUUAGGAUGUUUUGUCAAGAAUAAACACAAUCACAAAUGAGGCCUACAAAGACGAUCCUACUAUCCUUGCCUGGGAGCUGAUUAACGAGCCGCGUUGCCCUUCAGAUCCAUCAUGCGAUACGCUGCAGGUCCUUUAUUGUGGUCUUAUUUUUGUGAACUUUUACGUUCCAUGUAUGUUUGUCCACUGUACAUUUUGAAGAAAUUGGGUUCUCGUAGGCAUGGAUAGAAGAGAUGGCAUCUUACGUGAAGUCUAUAGAUACGGUGCACCUGGUGAAGAUUGGUAUUGAAGGGUAUUGUGGUUCGUCUACUCCAGAACUCUUGCUCAUCAACCCAGAUGAUUAUUCAGGGCAUGUUGGAACGGACUUUAUCAGGAACCAUUAAGCACUGGGAAUUGAUUAAGCUUCAGCUCAUAUUUAUUCACACACUUCGUAAGUCCUCAUGUCUGAUCCCACAUAACAUAUACAACUGAGUAGCUAUAGCAGCUGAAUUAAACCAUUCACAGAAAUACGGAAUUUACUAUCAGGGCUGAACUUAGGACUUUUUGCUAGGUUGCCUGACUCAACAGAGGAAAGACACAUUCAGUUUGUGACCACUUGGAUGCAACAACAUAUUGAUGAUGUAGCAAACUUGCUGGCCAUGCCCAUUGUGAUCGGGGAGUUCGGAUUAUCACUGAAGGACGGCAAGUUUGAAAACGAGUUCCGUGAAACUUUCAUGCAGACAGUGUACAACAAUUUAUUGGGUUCUUGGGAGAGUGGAAUGGUUGGAGGAGGCUGCCUUCUAUGGCAACUCUUCCCUGAAGGUGCAGAACACAUGGACGACGGUUAUGCAGUUAUUUUUGCAAAAUCACCAUCCACAUUCAACCUACUUGCAAAUCACUCAAGGAAGCUAGAAUGAUGAGAGCAUGUUGCUUCCCCUUCCCAUGCUACGACUUCGUUCGGUAUACAGGAAUGUUGCAGGAACAUUUAAAGGACCAGUUUCCGUAGGAACUUUUAAAGGACCAAUUCAGUAUACAUGGUUUUUGAAGCCAAGAUCUUACUGUAAAGUUGAAUGCCUUAUGUAUAUCAUGUACCCUAAUAGCUGGUCUCUGGUUCAAAAGAAUGUGAUACCAUGAAAAAAGGUAGAGAUUGAAUUGUGCAAUAAAAAUUUGCCCCUCCAUCCUGCGAAUAAUAUAUUUGUGGCAUUUUGUUUCCAUUUUAUGUACGUAUUUGUUUGUCAUAUAUGCAUAUGCAAACAAAGUCAUGUUGAAUGGUACCCUCCAUCCCCAGAACGUUGGGUAAGUGUAAUAUUGCAUUUGGUAUUGUAGUAGAACGUUAAGGUUUAAUAAAGAGUGUGGAUUCAUGAGCACAUGGGCACAUGGCCAGAUAUGUUUAAUAUGUCACUUGCCCUGUCAUGCUUAUAGUUUUCUAUUUUUGUUUCUCAAUUAUAUUACGGAGGCACAUCUCCAGUGUUUCUAUUGCAGUUGUAGUUCUGCAAAUGCUGUUUCUUUAGAAAAUAGCGAAUGUUGUGCUCAUAGUAGCAAAUGCUUAGCUGGAAUUUUUCAGAUAUACUAUCCUCAAAUUGUGCAGAUGUACAUUAAAGAUUCCCUGAUUUUUUUUUCUGCAAAUGCACAGCUGGAAUUGCGUUUUUGUGGUUUAAAUUCCAUUUGUUAGACAAGCAUGUACUAUUGAUCUUUAGUUUCUAUGUAUCAUCAUCAGAUUUCGGUAAGAGUUCGAGCAUCUUUUGUUUUCAUUUUCCAGAACCAAUAUGUUUUGAUGCAUUUGCUUUGACCAAACAAUGUCAAUGAGUUGAGCUUAAGAAAAUCAAACGAAGCAUUUAUUCGUAGUCCGAAAUCCAAGUAGUUCAAAAACGCGCACCUACAUAUGAGUGUUACCAAUCCAUAAAUCAACAAAUGACAAGUAUAACAAGAGCUAGCUUAUCACGUCAUAGUGAAAAUGUAUGAAUUGAAGUGGAGUGGUGAUACCAAAGCUAGAGCAUGGAGUGGACCAAGAAUAAAGAGGGCAAAGGAAUAGCAAAGUUUGUCUUGUUAGUUCAAAGAAAGAAACAUUGUUAUGUUGUCCCGUGGCAACGCGCGGGCAUUUAACUAGUAGAUAUAGAUGCCCUAUGAUAAAACGUAGCUUUCGGCAUUUAUAUUAAUUUUUUCUCUCCAAUGCAAGCUACCACCAGGAUGCCUCGUUAAAGAAUAAAACAAAUAAAGACUCUUUAUUUUUCACUCUAAUAUUUUCAGCUUUUUACACCGGACGGCAUCUUUUCUCUUCAAGCAUCCGCCUCCUGCAUAGGAUCCCGCUUCCUUAUCCAAACCUACUUUUUCUAUCAUCCGAUCCUACAUGGCAUACGGGCAUCACCUUCAGGCUAUGCAUUGUACAUGCCCUUAGGUUUCCUCUUUCUUGUCACUGGUCACAUUGUGUGCCAUCUUCAUCGGGAUGAGGGUGAACCCACCUGGAGCAAGGCACGCAGGCGGCCAACACGGAAGGAGCCCCCAAGCUCCUACACGCGAGAGAUGCAGUCGCACAAAGUUGGGGUCGAUCGGCCCGAUUUGUGGCUGCCCGCCGGAGCCAGCUCGUGGUUGCUAGCAUCACUGGAGGCCAACGCCGAGAAGCUCUACUACCAUCGGGUGGGAGCAGAGCUUCGCCGAAGAACACAUUUGACAGAUCCCUUCCUUUUCCAACCUAACUACUCUCUUCGUUUUUAAAUAUAAGUUUUUUUAAAAGAUUUCAUUAAAAGGUUACGGGUAAAUAUAUAUAGACAUACUUUAGAGUGUAGAUUCAUUCAUUUAUUUUUGUAUGUAGUCUUUUAAUAAUAUUUUUUAAAGAUUUAUAUUUAGGAAUGAAGAGAGUAUUAGGCUUGCUCCACGAUGAAUAUUCUAGCGCACUUGAUGAGUAGCACAUGGGUAGAGUGAGUUUCCACAGCAACAUGCAAAAGGCAUUUAAAAAUCCGUGCCAAGCAAGCAAGCAAGCAGGCCAGGAUCGAUGCAUGACAUGCGGUCACUCACAUGGCAGCCGCGCACACAAGGACAGAUCGGAAGCUUCUUCUUGCUUUAUCAGACUUGGUACGCGGGCGAAGCCAACUUUAAGCCAAGCUCCCCGUAGUUGGGCUCCAACGACGGGUCCACCACGUUCCCCACACUCGCACGACGCUAGCUUGUUGCUUGACGCGUCGUCGUCCUGACGCACAUGCACAUGUUGACGACCGCGCGCGUCGGUGGCCCCAGCCUCCAUCCAACGCACCGCGCACCUCGCCUCGCCUCCGUCCGCGCCGAGCUCGCUCCCAUAAUGCACGCUCAUGCAUGUGGCCGACCUGAUCCGCGGACCCACGGAUUUAGGGGCCGCCACAUGGUCAUCGCUUUCGAGCCAUACCGGAGGUUAGCAGCCAGCUCAGGAGGUACCCAUGCUACCUGUCUCCCUGAUGCAGCAGUACUGCAGUUACGGCCUUCCCCUGCUUCUAAACCUACUGCUCCCAUUCUAACGAAUCCCAACUAAUAUUCCUCCAUUCUACUUUGUGGAUCGUGACAGCAUCAUAAGAAGGCUGGCGGGGAGGAGGGUCAGCACGGCCUUUUCUCUCGGGUUCUCACAGAGGACAGAGCUACGCUACACACCUUUUCUCUCGUAGGCUGUCUCGCAAGUUACGUUAGCCAACGCCCGAAACGCUCGCCGUGGAUAGGAUGCGGCGGCCGGCCAUGGGAAGGGCAAUGGCGCCGGUCCUCGUGCUGGCGGUCCUGGCCGUCGCGGCGGCCACGGCGCCCGGGGCUGUUGACGGGGAUGUCAAGUGCGCUGAGUGCGGCACGGGCACGGUGCCGGUGCUCCCGCCUCCGCCGCCGUACUACUACUACAGCCCUCCACCUCCGGCGUCCUACCCCGGUGUGUCCAACUGCCCGCCGCCGCCAGGAGGGUACAUCCAGAUCGGAGGCUCGGCGCCUGGCAAGGGGCGUAUGUACCCGCAGGACCCCGGGUUCAUGCCAUCCAGCGCGCCGCGCACCGUCCACUUCACGGUAUGCUCGUUUGCGGCGUUGGCGGUUCUACGGAUCUUUUGGUGAUCGAUCUGCAGCAAUUGCGCUUGCGCUUGCGCGGCCAUCAUCUCCGUUACGUCUCGCGACGGGAGGACAGAGGCAUGCCGGCGUUCCAUGGAUUUCCUGUGUAUGCAUUCACCUUGUAAUAGUUCUUACUGGUCAUAUGUUUUGUAGUUCUUGCAAUGCAUCAAGCUC